CACAAGGAUAAAAAUCCAAGGACACUCAUAGGAUAAGAUUGGAUAGCAGAUCAUGCAAAUAAGUAUAUCAGGUAUCAAACAAGAUGUCCGAGAAGGCCAAAACAGAAAUUCAGAAACUAGCACUUGAUAACAACAGAACCCACUAGCUGCCUUAAGCAUAUCUCAUCACUUCUUCUCCUCCUUCUCCGCCUCGGCAGCCUUCUUCUGCCUGGCUCCCAAUUGCUGUUGUGCACAGAAAAAUUGCAAGCCGGCAAUGGAGCAAUCUAGAGUAGUUGCCACGGCAAAUUUCUCGUAAUAGUUGUCGUGGACAGAAUUUCUAUGAGUAGUUGCCACGGCAAUUUUUUUCUAUAGUAGUUGCCAUGGGCAGAUUUUCCAGAGUAGUUGCCAUGGCAAUCUUUUCGUAAUAGUUGCCAUGGGCAGAAUUCCUACAAGCAGUUGGCAUGGCAAAAAAAAUUGGUGUAGUUGCCAUGGCAAAAUUCUGGAGUAGGAGUAGUUGCCAUGUCAUAAUUGUUACGAGUAGUUGCAUGGCAAGUUUUUGCGGUAGUCGCCAUGGCAUAAUUCAACAGCUACAUCAGACACAUGUCAAGUUUACUUUUGUAGCAUGAUCUAAUACUAAUACAUAUGCGUAUGUGCUUAUUUUAAUCCAGUGAAAUAUGGCACUGAACUGUAGCUAGCAAAACGGCAGUUUUGCUUAAAUUGGUGAAAUUUGGCACUGAAAAGUAGCUAGCAAUGCAAAUAUCUCAAUGAAUUCAGCUUUGUUUUCUGUGUGAAACUGUUGUUGUUAAAUGAAGCCACAUUCCAGUCCACAUGCCAAUGUAUUUUCCAUGUUGUGAUGGAGGCCUUUUUUGCCUUGUCCACCCGAGAGGCCCUUGAGUUUGCUGGAAUGUCGAUUAACUUCCGUUCCAGAAAAUUCGGGUACUCCAUAUGUCCUAUUUUCAGCAAAGGUCAUGCUGAAAUUUUCCAUGAAUUUUAGCAUGACUUUGCUAAAAAAAAGGACAUAUGGGGUACUUGUGACUAAUGAUGAAAGCUUAGGCUUUUAGGGUGCCUCGGCGUCGAAAAACCCUCAAUGAUAAAGCUUAGCUUUUAGGAUGCCUCGGUGUCGACAAACCCUAAACAAUAACCAACUUUUUGACCAAACUUUGUUCCUAUUUAGAGAGAAACAUGGCCAACAACGAUGAGGCCGGGUGUUCGGGUGGCAAGGCAUUCUGGGAGCUGUCCCAGGAGAUGGAGGACCAACCUCAGUUGUAUGAGGACGCCGCCUUCCCCACCGAUCCUGAGACCACUAAUGGUACCGCCGAGGAUGACCCCACUGAUGCCACCACUGAUGGUGCCGCCGAGGAUGCCACCACUGAUGAUGGCGGUGCACGCACAGAUGGCAGCCAACCGAAGAGGCAACGGAAGGACCGGCGCCCGAUCGUGGUCCUCACCCUCAAGGAGGAAGUUACUGAAGUGGACUCCAACGGGAAUCCAACGGCGCCCGAACGAAUAGUCAAGGGGUACUCGCUUCAGCUCGUGUGCAUUCUCUGGAGCACCGUCUUGAUCAACACCGAGAACCUGAGGCAUCCUGACCGAGGGAAUUUGCGCAACCUCCUCUUCACGAAGCUGCACGAACGAUACAAGUUCCCCGCUGAAUUUGCAAACACAAGCCUCAAAAGGAAUAAAGUGAACAAUGCUGCCCUCACGAAGAUGAGCAAGGCCCUGUCUACUUGGAAAAGCAAUGUGAAGAGAAUGAUCAAGAAAGGUGAGAGUUAUGAGAAGAUCAAGGAGAAAAAUCCUUCGAUCACCGAAGAUGACUACAACGACUUCAAGAUCAAUUGCUCGAGCACCGCAAACUCCCAAUCAAGUGAGUGGGGGAAACAAAUGCGGGAGCUGAACAUAGGGGAACACACACUCGGUCCCGGCGGUUACAGAGUGGCGGAGCCUAUAUGGGACAAGGAGGAGGCGGACCGUGCCGAGCAAGGCCUACCGCCCCUCUUCGAUAAAUAUGGUGACAAGCAGACCAGGAACUUUGUCAGGGCCCGGUACAAGAAGGACCCGAAAACAAAGGAGCUUACCACGGAUCCGAAGACCAGGAAGCUUGAGCUUCUUCUGGUAAGGAAUACACCCCCGCGUAAUUAGCUCCAUAUGGUUGCAUUCUAAUUAAUGAAGCCAAAUUUCUAAAUGGUUCACAUUCCUUCCGCAAGCGACUGAAAGCAGUAGCGCGGGGUCGACUAAGAGCAACCCUUGGGACACCACUCUAAAUAGGGCGUUGAAUGUAAUGAAGAACAAGGAUAAGCUCAGUAAGCCGACGUCAGCUGGUCGUGUGGCCGGCAAAGGCUUGUCGACAAAAUGGGGGUCAUACUAUACCGCUGGUGUGCGGAAGGAGAAAAAGACCAGCUCGGAAAGCCAGGCGCGCGAGGUUCAAGAACUCAAGGCAUAGGUGGCGCGGAUUCCGGAGAUUGUCCAAGAGCAAGUGGAACAACGACUCGGAGCGACGAUCACCGCCAUUGUGCCUACCUUGAUCUCGGGGUUGAGUGCGUGGAUUGCGGGCGGCCAACAGGGGCCGCCCCCGAUUCCUAGCUUCAUGGCCAGCAACUCGCAGAAUGCGAUGGCAGGGCCAUUGGUGCCUCCGGCGGAGGCGGCAUUGGUGUCUCCGACGCCGGCACGGGAGCUUAAUGCACCCGGGUGUACGCCGGCCGGCACCUCUGCAGCAAGCGUUCCCUUCGUCAACUGCACGCCCGCCAUUGGCGGUGCCUCGACAUUAGCCAAGCUCGACACCAUCAUCACGGUAACUAAUUAAGCCUCUCUCGGCCGAGGACUUCAUCUCCUUGCCUUUGACUGGGCAUCCCUGACGCCCUACAUGUUUUCGCAGGGCACCGCCGACGUUCCGUGCACUCUCUUGCACUUCGUGAACAACGAGUUGGUCGAUGUCACCAAGGGCAAAAUCGUUCAACCGGGCAACCCCUUGUUCCACGGUACCCAGAUGCCACCCAACUUGUUUAGGGUUCAACUGGUUCGGGUGCUGCCAGGCUGCGACGAGUUGUUACCUCUGAUUCGACCCGUCGGGGCCGACGAUGAUGACGUGAUGACCCUCAGCGCCUGCCUGAGCUGGCCCCUGCUUUGGCCGAAGAGCCAGAUUCGUUUGGGGGCGGAGGACACCACCCCAAAGACAACACUGCCAGUCGUGCCGGCGCCAAGUCGACCCCAUGGCAAGACCGCCGCAACGCUGCCGGACAUCCCUAUGCCACUGGAUCCAAACAUGCAUAUGGCACAGGAUCAGAAUGACGACGAUGACGACGAUACAUUUGGCAACGUCGAUCAGUACUUUGCCGAUCAUGGGUACGAUGGCGACUUCAUGGGGCCUCCUUCUCAAGAACCCAACCCAACAAAAGACGUGUGUGAUCUAGCUGGUACGGCGGAGAAGCCAAGUUGCAACAGGCGCCGUCUGGCGUUCAGCUCUCAGGAGACGCCUCCAGCUGCCGACUUCACCGAGCCUCAGAUAGGCGAGGUGCGAAAUAUUAUCAGCCCCAACACACUCAAGAAGGCGGUCUGUGACCAGAACUCGGUCCCAUUACAGGAGAAGAAGAAGGCACGCAAAAGAAAUACUAAGAAGGGUGCGAGCCAGCCGGCACCGAGUACGAUCCGUGCUCAGGACGGGCCACCUUCACCUAAGGAUAUCUCGAGGAGGGUGCAUGUGGCGGGUAGGGCGAUGCUACCGACAAAUAUGCUCAAUGCUGCAACCGGUGCUAUGCGGAGUCUGCAUGACAGUGUUCUUUCUUUGGAGAAGCGGCUUCUCAGAGAGAAGGAUGUGGCAUACCCGGUUUUCGCGGCCAAGGUGCCAGAGGGCAAGGGCUUUGUGGAUAACUCCAUCGGGCGUACGAUCGUCCUGCAGUUUGAUGACAUCCACGCUAUGUUGAACCUUCAUCCGCUGCACUACACCUUCGUUCGGCUAUUUUCGCUGAGUAUGGAGAUGCGGAUCAUUCGCGACAAGACCCCGGACAUCGUGAUAGUCGACCCCUUCUACAUGCGUGCCAAGAUCUUGGGCAGCGCUGGGGACCGGCAAGUCGCGAGUUCUUACCUCGAAGGCGUCAUUCUGGCAAACCAAGAUAAGGAUAACUUCCUCGUGCCUUACUUUCCUGAGUAAGUCCUCCCCUCAACCGGCCCGUAACAUAUGAAUUCUUAGAUUUCGAUCGUUUUUCUUUCAACAUUCCGUGUUUUCUGCAGUGACACACAUUGCACGCUCAUCCUCCUAAGCCCCAAAUAUUCCAUGGCCACGUAUUUUGACCCGGACCGUCAGUCGAACGUAGACUACACAAAUGUCAAGAAGGUUCUUGAUGAUGUUCUCCCCGGCUACGCCAAAUCUGGAGGCACCUUCACCAAGCCUAUUCGUAAGUACGACAAGCACGUGUUCUCCCACAAUACGAUGUUCUGCUGCGUCAAGCAGCCGCCUGGUGGUCAGAAUGGUGCCUACUACGCCAUCCAUCACAUGCGGGCGAUCGUACGGGACCAUCAUCAACUUCUACUACCGAGUAAACUCAAAGAUUGGGCAAAGAGCGUGUCGGCAAUCCAGGACGCGGACCUCCGACAAGAAUUCUUUCGCAUCCAGUCGGAGUUUGCGGAAAUCAUCCAUCAAGAUGUCCUUCGUACCUCGGGGCAGUUCUACCUCAACAAUCAACCGUCCCACAGUGACAUCGACACAAUGCUACAAAUGCAGGCUGGCAACGACCGUUAUUUCAUGACUCCCAUGAUAGAUGGCGGCUUCAUCCACGCUCCGGUCCCUUGAGUCGAGUCGAAAGCAGUGAUGCUGUGUCUAGUUCUGAAACAUCGAUUGGCUCAUGUUGUAAUUAAACUUUAAUGAACUUGUAGUAUGUCUCUUUGGUUUCGAGAGUCGUUCAACUUAGAUGUAAUCGAUGCUAUUAAUGUCUUGCUUUUCUCUUCCGAUCGUUCUGUUGCAUACUUAUAUAUUGCUUAUGUAUUGUCUAUGAAUUGGUACUAACGUUUCGUUUGGCUAAUGCAUAGCGAUGCCGACGUAUGUCGUGUACAAGGGUAAGGUUCCCGGAGUCUACGACGACUGGGAGGAGUGUCGGAGACAGGUUCACCGAUUCAGCGGUAACAGUUACAAAGGAUACACCACUAGGGCCGAGGCCGAAUCUAGAUACGCCCGCUAUCUAGCGGGAGAGGGGAGGGAGCGUUGGAGGAACCGGAUGAAGACGAGUUUCAUCGUGAUGAUGCUCAUCGUGAUGACCGCAGCUCUCUUAUAUGUGAUGGUAGUUUAGAUGAUCGAUAUCGACUUGUAAUGUGAAGACAAACUCACUACUCGCGGUCUCGAGACUUGUAAUAUAAUGUUCUAUCUUUGUUCGGUCUUUUCAAUUCGGAGACUAAUAUGAUGAAUUGUACUCGUAGACUAAUAUGAUGAAUUGUAUUCAAAGACUAAUCUUCUAUUGUAUUCGAUGAAUCUGUUGUUGAUGUGUGCUGUCUAUAUUUUGUCUAAUUAUACAUUUUAUAACCUGUGCAAAAAACAGAAAAUAAAAAUAAAAAAAAGCUAAUAUUCAUACUAAUGGUGCAUCACAUCACAGUGCGCCAUUAGUAUGACAAAGUAUACUAAUGGCGCAUCAUUAAACAGUGCGCCAUUAGUAUGCCGAGGUUACUAAUGGCGCAUCUUGUUGUUGUGCGCCAUUAGUAUGCCAGAGCACCUGGGUAUACAUGGCCCCUGGGAGGCAUACUAAUGGCGCACUUCUGUAUACACUAAUGGCGCAUCAGAGGUGCGCCAUUAGUAUACCAGAUACUAAUGGCGCACCAGUGGUGUGCCAUUAGUAAAAUAUACUAAUGGUGUGGCACUAAUGGCGCACCACUAAUGCGCCAUUAAUGGCCAAAUUAGGUGCGCCAUUAGUAGGCCUUUUCCUAGUAGUGGUAGGUAAAAAAAUUGCUCAUUUUUAGCCGGUCGAAGUCUCAAAGGGCGCGACCGCGCGAGGGAGGCGAAGGUCGUGGGAGGCGCGACGGUUGACGGAAUUAAGUGAAGUUACAUCCACGCGCCGGCAUGGCGUGCGAACAGGCAGAAGCUAUACCGUCAGGCCUACGAUAUGGGUCUAGUAGACAUGACAUCUAGUGGGUCCCGCAUAGUUCUCAAGAACUCUUUGGGGGCUUGCAGCCGUUUAUUCACCGGGCAAGCCAGCAACCCCACGCCGUUCGCACACCCUACUCGUCCCCGUCUUCUACCUCACAACAGUUCGCUCCCAGUCGUCCCAUCCUUUCACAUUAGUUCACUCCCAGUUUUUGCGGGGUACAACAGUUCAACGUCUCCUAACCCUCCUCCAAAAUCCAUGGCCUCCCAAAUCUCCAUGGUCGCCGCUGAGUACCAGGUUAGAGCCAUCACCGGCGAUCAGUUCAUCGUCAUCUACACACGUCGAUCCGUGACGGUGAAAGCAUGGCUUGCUCGCUUCCUACGCAUGUUCAACAGUUCAACGGAUGAGUGGGUCACUGGGCUAGAUGUUGAGUACACCACAGUCGUGGGAUGAGAGAAGGAUCUAAAGGAUGAAGAGAGGAAGAAGCCCGUCAUGAUCCAGGUUUGCGUACAUAAUGUUUGCUUGGUCUACCACAUAUGCCAUGCCAACGUUAAGUGCCAAGAUUUUAAGAACUUCCUCAAGGACAAAAGAGUGAAAUUCGUUACUGUAGGCUUUAAGAACGACAAAGAAGUCCUGCAUCGGAUAGGUCUCGUUGUAGGCCAGCCCUUCGAUCUCCAGAAGGCAAGCCUGGUGUCCUCCUCUCAACCUUCAAUGCUGACCCUGGUAGCAGCCAUGAUUGAUCCUUCGUACGCUAAACUGAAGAAACCUCAUCACGAGUUUCAUCAUGCAUGGGAGUUGAAGACAUUUGAUGAAGAUCACAUCCUGUACGCAGCAAUGGAUGCCUACCUUUGUUUAAAUAUCUACAUGGGUUGGAUGAAGAAGCAGAGCCCAGUGUCCGGUUCAAGCAAAGAAGCAUUGGCGAAGAGGAAGAGGAAGAGGGAUGAGGACGAAGUCGAGGACGUGGACUCGGACUCUGAGUAGGUGGCAGUGCCGUCGCUCAUGCUGGUUCUACUGCAGUGUCAAGCUGACUAGUUGCUUUGUUUAUUUUCAAGGGUGUGUUGUGUUGAGGCCCCAGCAGAACUAUAUUUAUGUUCUUUCUCGUUAUUUGAACUGUUUAGUACGUAGAGUAGUACUAGUACUAUGUCUUACUACUGUUCGUCUUGCAGUUGGUACUACUGCUCGUACCUUCGUGUUCCCACUGUACUUAAUAUGUUCGUACUAGUAGUAUAAUUUGGGUCAGUCGAUUUGUGAAAGAAGUUCGAUGGAGCGAAGGAAGAAGACGUCAUAAGAGGUGGAAGCAGCCCUUCUAGCCAUCCAUGUUGCAUCAAACGGCUCACAUGAGUCGACUGACCCAAAUUGCUCCUUCAGAUUGCAGGACCCACAUGGAAUUCAAGGUCUCGAAGGUAGAUUCCGCGUCCGCACCCGGUUUGCGGGCUCGACGCGCGCGCGACCGGCUUCCGCCGCGAUAGCCACCAUGCGCGCCUCCUCCGCGCGAGCGGAGACGACAAUGACAUGCUAGUUCCUCCUCGCCGGCGUGCUGGAGCACACGCUCAUCCUCCUCUUCAUAUACUGCGUGCAUAGACGCGGCUCCACCAACUGCUCGCGUGCUUUGCAGCACGGCGGCAUGGCGAGGAGGGACUACAAACGAAGUGAGCGGGUGAGCCUUCAGCUUCAUGGCACAGGGAUGGUGGCGACACGGCGGUGAUGGGCGAGAAAUUGUUGGCCGGAGCAGGCGGGCGCCGACAUGCGCAAUGGCGGCGGCGGCAUAUUGAUGAGUGCGCGUAUGGGAGCUUACUUUAGUUCUAUAUGAGGUUGGUCAAACUUAAAAGAAAACCGUACUAGUACACGUAAACAUUAGACUUAGGCAGCGCUUUUUUUUAAGUUAGUACCACAGCCACGAUACGGAAUCCUGUGCAAGCACGUGAACCACGGCCGCGCGGUUGAUCGAACGAUGCAUCACCGUGUCCCGCUCGAAGGACAUCCACCGAACCUUUUUGUGUGUGUGAAAACAAUCCUCGAAUAUUGCUCAACUUUUUUUUCCUAGGAAAGUUCUUGACGCUGCAAUAUUUCCAUAUAUUUGAAUUUAGCUCCAGUUUGUGUUUAUUUGGAUUUGGAUGUUUUAGGUGCGCCCUAGUUUUUUUAAUACUUAUUUUGUGUGUGUGACUGAGAGAGAACGUGUGUAUGUGUCCAUAUGUGUGUUGUGGCGGAAGGGCAAUGUGGAGACGGUGUGUGUGUGUGAUACAGACAUAGAGAGGUGUGAAUGUGCAAACAAUCAUGCAUGAGUGAGACAUAGACAGAUGCCGAUACGUUGUGUAUACAUGAGAGAACGGUCUUCUAGUUCACUUGCGCACGCGCGCGCGCGUGUGUGUGUGUGUGUGUGUGUGUGUGUGUGUGUGUGUGAGAGAGAGAGAGAGAGAGAGAGAGAGAGAGGAGCAUCCGUAACACAACAACCAUCUCUCUCGAUUCGUCCAUCCCUCGCACGACCGCAUGCAACAUAUGCNNNNNNNNNNNNNNNNNNNNNNNNNNNNNNNNNNNNNNNNNNNNNNNNNNNNNNNNNNNNNNNNNNNNNNNNNNNNNNNNNNNNNNNNNNNNNNNNNNNNNNNNNNNNNNNNNNNNNNNNNNNNNNNNNNNNNNNNNNNNNNNNNNNNNNNNNNNNNNNNNNNNNNNNNNNNNNNNNNNNNNNNNNNNNNNNNNNNNNNNNNNNNNNNNNNNNNNNNNNNNNNNNNNNNNNNNNNNNNNNNNNNNNNNNNNNNNNNNNNNNNNNNNNNNNNNNNNNNNNNNNNNNNNNNNNNNNNNNNNNNNNNNNNNNNNNNNNNNNNNNNNNNNNNNNNNNNNNNNNNNNNNNNNNNNNNNNNNNNNNNNNNNNNNNNNNNNNNNNNNNNNNNNNNNNNNNNNNNNNNNNNNNNNNNNNNNNNNNNNNNNNNNNNNNNNNNNNNNNNNNNNNNNNNNACACACACACACACGCACGCACGCACGCACGCACGCACACACACACACACACACACGCACGCACGCAACACAACACACACACACUCCCCCGAGCACACAAUUCAUCCCCAUCCAAGGUUAUACGGCGACCACUCUCGCUUGUGCUUCUUUGCACCCCAACAUGCACAACACCUCAAUCUUCAAAGAGGGCAUCGAGCAGAUCAAAGACGGUGACCACACCGCACUAGAGAAUGCGGGGUCAUUUGGAAGCAGGGUGAUGUGACGACGGCUGACUGACUCCUCCCCCCACCCUCUCUCUCUCUUGCACAAAAUUACCAAUCCCUCUCUCCCCAGCACAAAAUUGUCAAUCCCUCAACCCAUGAGAUUCUUCCCCUCUCGUCCAUGUUUUUCCAGCUCUCUCAUCAAACAUGUUGUCUCUUCUCCUUCCACGUAUACAGAAUCAUGUAUAUUACAUGUCUCCAUCUUUCUCACAGACCUAACUUCUUCCUCUCUCUUUCUCUCUCUCUCUCUCCCUCUCCCUCCCUCUCUCUCUCUCUCUCUCUCUCUCUUUUUGUGUGUGUGUGUGUGUCUCAUUAGGUUUGUCUCCUACUCUCUCGUCCACAUACAUACAAUCUUUCCCGCCCUAUCUGCUCCAUCUUCAAAAGCUCUCUCUGCAUGUUUCAUUCACACAAUGGGAUAUGUCAAAAUGUUGCUUCUAUAAUGGCUGAUGUAGAGUUUUGGUUGUUUUUGUUGCAUCCUACAAAGUAAUAACUAUGAAAUGCAUUUAGAUUCUCAUUUGACCGGGAUUAUGUGAGUUUGAGCAUGUUGUGAAGUACUAGAGACCUUGUAUACAUCUUGGGAUUCGACAAUGAUUGUAACUAUUGAAUUGUAUAGACCAUUACAUUCAAAGUCAAUAGCCUAAUAUAUUCAUUUCAAAAUUUCAACAAAUGAUUAGUUCACUACAAACUAAGAAAACAAAUGUGUACUCCCUCCGUUUUUAUUUAAGUCCACGUAUUAGCAUUGGUCAAAGUCAAGUUUUGUAAACUCUUAGAAAGCUUAUAACAAAAAAUAUUAACAUAUACAAUAACAAAUAAAUACCAUUAGAUUCAUUAUUGAAUGUACUUCCACAUCAUACAUAUUUGUUAUGGUAAAUGUUUAUAUUUUUAUAUAAACUUGGUCAAAUUUUAGGAAGUUUGACUUCGGUCAAACCUAAUAUGCAGAGUUUACUACUACUACUCGCUAGUUGCUUAGCCGAAUCACUCAACACGCCACACGGGGAGUCCAGUGUCACAAAAUUUUGAGGUCGGCGGGAAAAUCUCCCGCGACCCUGAUUCGAGCAGUGGGAAGUUACCAUCAUAGCCUUCGGAACAGGCCUACGUACGACGCUUGGUAGGGGGCUGUUUUCGUAACUUCAGGUUCACCCUACCCAGCCAGCCCCACCCCGGCACCCAGAGUAGUACACCUGAAUACUCCCCAUUUUCUAUCCCCACCGCAAAAUAGACUUCUCCACGGCACCGCAGCCUUCGUGCUCCUCCCCUUUACAUUGGCGCACUCGUCCACUGCAGCGCAUCUGCCUCAUCGACGACCUCGUACGCCGCACUGGAGCCGGUCCACCAUCGUCGUUGUAGACGGAGCCUCUUCCCCGGCAUCGUCUUCCACGGUCUCGGAUCUGCUUCCCGGAAGCCGACACCAAGCGCAGAAGUACCACCGUCGUGGACAAUAAACUGACUCCCGUUGCCGACCAUGACUCACAGAGGCCGCCGCGACCAUCGUUCUCCUCCUCGAUUGGUAAUGUGUGUAUUGAAUCACUUAGCAGUACAUGUGCAGUUCCAAUUUUGUUCAUACCUACCCUUCAAUUUUCCUGGGUGCUAUUGUUCCCAUAAAAGUAAUUGGUUAUAGUCUCCAUUGUCCAACAGAAUAUCAGCUUGUAAUUGUGUGUCGCUCCUGUAUCGCGCUGUGCUUGGGUAGGUUUUUCAUCUGCAACCAGCAGUGUGGCAAAUGAUGGAAAAGUUUUUAGAACGAGCAAGAUGCCCAUGCGUUGCACGCAUCAAGAUGCAUUUGUAUGAGUAGUUUAUCUUGUGGGAGAAAAGGAUGAACAAGGGGAGGCCUUAUUUGCAAAUCUGGAGAGGGGUAUGGGUAUCUUUUUGCAAAAUUCCCAUUUGUUUCCUUCCUAUCUGUCAGAUAUAAAUUGAACGACCUAUAUUGCAAGAAAAAAUGUAUAGAGAAAAAAAAGUAGACAGUAAAGGAAGUAGAGAUAAAUAUUAAAUAAAUAUAACCGUAGAGAAGAGAGUAGAGAUAGCAGAGAUGUCGGGAAAGGAUCGCGCAUGCGCGGGAAAAAGCGGUCGGGCGUGCGCUAGUUUUGGCGCGCGGCGUCCGGCGCGCUUUAUAAAAUCCAACGCCCUCCCACCGCUCUGUGCCUUGCCACCGCUCCGUGCCUCGCCACCGCUCUCUCUCCGCUCUUUUUCGCCUCGCCGCUGCCACGCCACCAUGCCGCCGCAUCGCUAAGAAACUUGGGGAUACCGUGGCAUCCGCGCGCGCCCCUCCUGCGGCUUCUCUGUCGAGAUCCAGUUCCGCGGGAUGCGCCUCGGCCUCGGCGAUUUCGACACCGCCACCGAGCCCGCCCGCGCGUAUGACGCGACGGCGUGGCGCCUCCGGUGGCCUCAUAGAACAUUGAACUUCCCCAACGUGCCGAUGCGGGAGCGGGCGCAGGAGCUCGCGCCUCUUCUGUGGCUUAGCACCGACGAGGAUCGUCGCCACAACCGGAGGCGGGAGCACCGUCUCGGCAUUGCUGAGAUGGACCAGGAAGCCAUUGCGCUGUGGCGUCAACACUUCCCGUAGGACAUCAUCAACGAGCGCGGGUUCUAUGCGCAAAGGAGGGCGGAGAGGGAUAAGAGGAGGGCGGAGCGAGCCGCCUAUCGCGAGGACAAGCAUAGGAAAAAAGCGGAUGCUCAAUUCAACAUGAGGCUAGGAGCAGCGUCGCCCUGGUAACCCGACGAUGAUCGGUAUCUUCACGCCUACAGUCAGACGUCGGAGGAGGACAUCACCGAGGAGCAGUCGGACGACGAGGAGUAGUUGAAUUAUCUUUUUUGUAUCUAUCUAUGCUGAGAACUAUCCUCUACUCUCUAGUAUCUACUUCUCGAUCGCAGCACUGUAAGCGCUUUUUUAAAGCGCCGCACGUUGCAAUUCUGUUAGAGAUGCUCUAACAUGGCAGAUGAGUGCUUUAAUGUUGCCCACAAGAUGCGCGAGUAUUACUAGUAGUAUUUUUCUUGCCAGGUUGAGAUUUUGAAACCACGAGUGUGAACAUGCAGAGGAGCAAUGAAGACCAAACACGGGAUAUUCGGGACAUCUUCAAGGAGCGUGGCAAGUUAAAGAGGAGCUGCACCGAACCUGUAAAACGAGCUUUGGUAAGUAACACCGUUUCAAUUACUUUCGUUUAGCCUCGUGUUCUUCGAUGUGUAUAUGUUGUAGUUUCUGUUUCUCUUAAGCGUGGUGUUCUUCGAUGUGUAAUAAGAAGAGUCUUAAUCAUCCUAAUGCUUUCAUUUUUAACUUGAUGUAGGAAGUGGGUGUUCUCACCGUGUAGUCUGUUUUUAUAUUUCUUUUCCUUUUGAAUUCACUUCUCCGAGUUCUGUUUAUCUGGCUUCUACUAAAUGGAUCUAGGUUUCUCUGAGUAUUGAUCUAAAAAAGAAGUAACUUCAUGUCAGGAUGCAGUUCCUGCGAGGAGGGAAGUAUGGUCAACCUCGAGAUCAUGUUUCCAAAAUGAGGCUGGAUUACACACAAGGUGCCAGUUCCCUAAUGAUGCUGGAUUAGACACAAGGUGCAAAUUCCCAGAUGAUGCUGGAUUACACACAAGCCAGGUGGAGUCAUCAGCUGUUCGUGUCCUCGUGGCAUUAGUAAAGGCUGAAAGAAAGCGUGCAGCAGCCCAUGAGAAUGUAGCUGAGUUCCUGAAGAAGCGAAAAGAGCAAUCCGAUGCUCUCUUCACCCAAGCCAAAGAAGAGAUGGAAGAAGCCAGAAAUAAGCUAGCAGAGGCAGAGCAGGCUAGGCGUCUCCUGCUAUCUAAAACUGUUGUCAAUACAAAAUGUCCUUCAUAAUAGCUAGGUUCAAAUGUUUAUCCAGUCAGCAUGCCUGUUGUGAUGUCUGUACAUCUACUGAUGUGGCACAAAAUGUUUUUUUCGGGUCAUGUAAUAACCGCAAUUACUUUCCAAACAAUAACAGACGAAGCAUUGGACAUGGUAUAGUUCACGCGCAAGCCCGACAUUCCAUGUCCAACUUCCACAUCAAACUCAUGUUCACAGAUAUCUGCACAUUCAUACAUAAUGUCCACAACCAUGAUUCACUUCAAAGCCAAAAAAAUGUGAGGAGAGUUAUAAAUAAAGAAAAACCUCUACUAGUUCCUGCUACCAGUGCGAGCACAACAAGUCAAGACCAUGCGUAAAUUAAUUAUAUUUUAGUCAUUUUUUGUGUUCUAAAAUGCCUGCCGGCUCGCGGAAGGACGUGUUGCCGGCACACGCGCGGAUUCAAUGAAGGCAGGCGGGGCAGUCUUAAGCUGGUUGCACGUGGCGAGGAGGCGUGCUCAGCCGGGUCUCACUACUGGAAUCAGCUACUUUGCCAUCUGCCAGCUCUUUGGCGUCAGCUAACGGACGGCAAAGAAGCUCUUUGCCAUCAGCUACCUGAAAGUAGACGGCAAAGAACAGGCUGAUUGCAAAGAAAGCCUUUGCCAUCAGCCUGUUCUUUGCCGUCCGCUAGCUAACGGCAAAGAAUCUUUGCCGUCCGCUAGCGGAUGGCAAAGAGGGAGGGGGGCCCCACUGAGGAGCUGGUUAAAAAAUACUUAACGGCCCCCCUCUUUGUCGUCCGCUAGCGGACGGCAAACCGCACAUUAGCGGACGGCAAAGGUGGUGGACGGCAAAGAUUAAACAUAUCUAACGGUCGGCGCGCCCCACCCCCUCUAUCUCUGUUUCCCUCCCACACACGUGCGCCGCCGCCCCCACCACUCGCCGCCGCCCGGUCGCACCACCGCCCCGCCGCCCCAUCGUCCCGUUGCCCCGUCGCCCGGGCCCCCCGCCCCGUCUCGGCGCCGCCGCNNNNNNNNNNNNNNNNNNNNNNNNNNNNNNNNNNNNNNNNNNNNNNNNNNNNNNNNNNNNNNNNNNNNNNNNNNNNNNNNNNNNNNNNNNNNNNNNNNNNNNNNNNNNNNNNNNNNNNNNNNNNNNNNNNNNNNNNNNNNNNNNNNNNNNNNNNNNNNNNNNNNNNNNNNNNNNNNNNNNNNNNNNNNNNNNNNNNNNNNNNNNNNNNNNNNNNNNNNNNNNNNNNNNNNNNNNNNNNNNNNNNNNNNNNNNNNNNNNNNNNNNNNNNNNNNNNNNNNNNNNNNNNNNNNNNNNNNNNNNNNNNNNNNNNNNNNNNNNNNNNNNNNNNNNNNNNNNNNNNNNNNNNNNNNNNNNNNNNNNNNNNNNNNNNNNNNNNNNNNNNNNNNNNNNNNNNNNNNNNNNNNNNNNNNNNNNNNNNNNNNNNNNNNNNNNNNNNNNNNNNNNNNNNNNNNNNNNNNNNNNNNNNNNNNNNNNNNNNNNNNNNNNNNNNNNNNNNNNNNNNNNNNNNNNNNNNNNNNNNNNNNNNNNNNNNNNNNNNNNNNNNNNNNNNNNNNNNNNNNNNNNNNNNNNNNNNNNNNNNNNNNNNNNNNNNNNNNNNNNNNNNNNNNNNNNNNNNNNNNNNNNNNNNNNNNNNNNNNNNNNNNNNNNNNNNNNNNNNNNNNNNNNNNNNNNNNNNNNNNNNNNNNNNNNNNNNNNNNNNNNNNNNNNNNNNNNNNNNNNNNNNNNNNNNNNNNNNNNNNNNNNNNNNNNNNNNNNNNNNNNNNNNNNNNNNNNNNNNNNNNNNNNNNNNNNNNNNNNNNNNNNNNNNNNNNNNNNNNNNNNNNNNNNNNNNNNNNNNNNNNNNNNNNNNNNNNNNNNNNNNNNNNNNNNNNNNNNNNNNNNNNNNNNNNNNNNNNNNNNNNNNNNNNNNNNNNNNNNNNNNNNNNNNNNNNNNNNNNNNNNNNNNNNNNNNNNNNNNNNNNNNNNNNNNNNNNNNNNNNNNNNNNNNNNNNNNNNNNNNNNNNNNNNNNNNNNNNNNNNNNNNNNNNNNNNNNNNNNNNNNNNNNNNNNNNNNNNNNNNNNNNNNNNNNNNNNNNNNNNNNNNNNNNNNNNNNNNNNNNNNNNNNNNNNNNNNNNNNNNNNNNNNNNNNNNNNNNNNNNNNNNNNNNNNNNNNNNNNNNNNNNNNNNNNNNNNNNNNNNNNNNNNNNNNNNNNNNNNNNNNNNNNNNNNNNNNNNNNNNNNNNNNNNNNNNNNNNNNNNNNNNNNNNNNNNNNNNNNNNNNNNNNNNNNNNNNNNNNNNNNNNNNNNNNNNNNNNNNNNNNNNNNNNNNNNNNNNNNNNNNNNNNNNNNNNNNNNNNNNNNNNNNNNNNNNNNNNNNNNNNNNNNNNNNNNNNNNNNNNNNNNNNNNNNNNNNNNNNNNNNNNNNNNNNNNNNNNNNNNNNNNNNNNNNNNNNNNNNNNNNNNNNNNNNNNNNNNNNNNNNNNNNNNNNNNNNNNNNNNNNNNNNNNNNNNNNNNNNNNNNNNNNNNNNNNNNNNNNNNNNNNNNNNNNNNNNNNNNNNNNNNNNNNNNNNNNNNNNNNNNNNNNNNNNNNNNNNNNNNNNNNNNNNNNNNNNNNNNNNNNNNNNNNNNNNNNNNNNNNNNNNNNNNNNNNNNNNNNNNNNNNNNNNNNNNNNNNNNNNNNNNNNNNNNNNNNNNNNNNNNNNNNNNNNNNNNNNNNNNNNNNNNNNNNNNNNNNNNNNNNNNNNNNNNNNNNNNNNNNNNNNNNNNNNNNNNNNNNNNNNNNNNNNNNNNNNNNNNNNNNNNNNNNCUUAGUUUAGUUUUAGGUUUAGAUUUAGUUUUUUCCUUUUUUCUGUUUUUUUAGUUUUAGGUUUAUGUUUAGAUUAGAUUUAGGUUUAGUUUUAGGUUUAGUUCAGUUUUAGGAAAGAAAAAGAAGAAGAAGAAAAAAACAGGAGAGGAGGAGAAGAAGAAGAGGAAAAAGGAAAGGAGGAAGAAGAAGAGGAGGAGGAGAAGAAAAAAGAAGAAGAGGAAGAAGAAGAAGAAAAAAAUAGGAGAGGAGGAGAAGAAGAAGAGGAAAAAGGAAAGGAGGAAGAAGAAGAAGAAGAAGAAGAAGGAAAAAAAAGGAAGAAAAGGAAGAAGAGGAAGAAGAAGAAAAGGAAAAAAGACCCCGACCCGGCACCCCGACACNNNNNNNNNNNACUGGGUCAUAUAUUUGUGAAUUAUUAGUUAGAUCAUAUAUUUUUCGAUUUGGUUAUGAAAAACAUCAUAUAUAAUUGUGUUGAUCGGGUAGUUUUAAAUGUGUAGUUGUUUUGUUGUACUUUUUUUCAUGUUGUACUAAUUACGUUUAUUCUUUGUCAUGGCAGGUGUUGACAGAUGGUGGGCGCUGGUCGGGAGCGCGCCGAGGCCACUUCUUCGUCGGCGCGUAGUGUGAGGUCUUCCAUUCCACACGCACCUCUCCGCCGAGCGUUGCUGGACAGUAUGGCGACACCGCCGGGCCCUUCUUCGUCGACCGCGGUGCCCAGCAGGGGACAAGGUAAGAAGAAGGGCCGAGGUAGAGCACGUGGUCGCGGGAGAGGAGGUAGGGUGGCUCUUACGGCGCGUUCCUCGCUGCUGCCCCAGCUGUUUCACCCGAGCACGUGACUGCUAGGGUGGACUCGUUUGAGGAGGAGGCUACACGGACUCCGGUCCACGAGCCUCCGGUCCACGGGUCUUCGGCCCACGAGCCUCGGGUCGACGGGCCUUCGGCCCACGAGAGUUGGGCCCACGAGACCCCGGAGGAGCACACAUCUGGAUGGGGUACUUGGUCGGGUCAGCCUGAGGAGCCGAGUGGCCAUGCUGAUGAUGGCGGGGAGCCGAGUGGCCGUGUUGAUGAUGGCGGGGAGCCGACUCGUCUUGAGGAGGAGGGGGAGGGGAGCAACGUCUACCAGCGUGGUGCUACACGGCUCCUGUCCGUGCCGGUGACCCGCAAGCAGAGGUGGUUGACUUUCCCUGAUGGGGAGAGGUAAGUGCAUUUAAUCUUUUUGUACCUUCUGCAUUCAUGUUUCUUCAAAUAACUAAUGCGUUGGCCUUGUCAUGCUGCAGGGGUUGGGGCCACCAUGAAAGUGUCCGCCGGCCCAACUCCGUCCUUGGAGUUCUGAUUCGGCAAAACUUUCCGGGGUUUGUCAUGUUGCCUGGUGAGGGUCGGCUUCCAGAGGUUGGAUUGAGUCGGGAGCACUACUUGGCUACCCCGGCCCUGUCGGGUGAGAUUAUCGAUGGUGUCUUGUGCAAGACGAGGGCAGACAUGGUGAUCAGAAAGUUCUGGGUAAUUUCUCCUUUACACAAUUAAAAAUCUUCAACUAGCUAGUUAUUAAUUGUACUAAUCAAUAUUGUCUCAUUUGAUUGCAGACAUUCUACAGGUGUGAGGAGGGAUACGAGGAGGAGGCGGCAUAUGUUAUCCACAAGGAGUGCAAGCGCCUACUUCAGAACUUACGACAUGAGGCUCGGGUGCAGUCUGUUCGAGACUACUACGCCAACCGUGGUAUCAAGAAGUCCAAGCAGGAGUGCUGCGAUAUUUUCUUGAGUAAGGAGCAGUACAUGAAGGUAAUUCUUAAGGCCUUGUACUUAAUUACUUUAUUUAGUAAUUCAUAGUCGUAGUGCUGAAGUUUCUAUUUGCUAACUUAGGCCCCUCAGAGAUGGUGUGCGGAUCGGAUGGAUUGUUGGGAGGUAUUGGUCGAUGGGUGGUGCUCAAAAGAAUGGCUGGCCACCCACAAUGAGGCCAAGGACAAAUGUGCCCAAAUGGAAGGUGUGCCACACCACCAAGGCAACUCCAACUUAUUUCAGUACGGGCGGAACUGGGUAUGUGGUUUGCUUCAUGAUUCAUGCAAUUCAUUCAUCAUGCUAGCUUUAGCCCUUUAAUUACUAAUUUACUUUGUUUCUCUCUUUCAGGCAUGCUACAAUAAGGUGGAUAAGGUGCCAGAGGUGUACGACCUGUAUGCCAUGGCCCACACUGGCUCUUACAAGAAAGUCAAGGCUAAUGAUCCAAAGAACUUCACCAACAUCUCCGCCCACGAAAAGCUCGUGCAAUAUAGGGAUUAGGGGAAUGCGAGGAAAGGGGAGGACUUUAACCCGAGCCAGGGUCCCAUUGAUGCAGAGUUGCUGAUGAUAUCUGGUGGCGGGAGGUCCCAUGGCUCCAUAGCCAUGGGAGAUGGACUUAUCUGUUGUCCUAGCACUCUCCCGGAGAUCAAGGCGCGCCAGUCGAGCUCCGCUCCUGAGAUAAGGCCUCGUGAACGGCCAGUCCAACUCGCCAUCAAGGUUAGUUAUACAUACUCAGCUAUCUUUCUCCAUUACAUUGUGUGCGCUUCCAUCAAUGAUUAGAAAUGGUCAUGUGAGUGGUGUUGCAGGCUGCUAUACAGAGUGAGAGAGAUAGAACGGAGAAACUUUUGGCGGAGGCGGCAGAGAGGCAGCGGGAGUUGGAGGAGAGGACGACAAAGAUGUUGGAGGAGGAGAGGGAACGGAAUGACAUGCAGGCAAGGGCCAUGUAUGAGCUCCUUGUGGUAAGUUUCUUCUGCAGAUUACUUGCUAGUCUUAACAUUUGAGUCUCAUUACUAACUAGUAUGACUCUGUUGUGAAAACCAAAUGUGCAGUCUGUGUGCGAGAAGUCCGGUCAGACCGCUCCGCCGAUGCCAGUGAUUGCUCCUGGGAGCACGGUGAGUUUAAUUUGAAUGGACAUUACUUGCUAGUCUUAACAUUUGAGUGUCAUAAUGCUAACGAGACAUUGGAAAUGAUCUUUGGUGCAGCUUAACUCCAGAAACGCAUCGCACGAUCCUUCUCCAGCUACCGGCAUGACCCAGCCCGCUCCUACACCUCCCUGAUCGCGGUAAGUUUCUCUAGACUUAGACUUAGCUUUAUUUCCUCCAAUAUGCUUACCAUAAUGACCUAGAGUUAGCUUCCUUUCCUUCAAAAUGACUUAAUAAGCUUACUUAUGUCAAAAAUUGCAUAAUUAACUUAGUUAGCUCAUAAACGAUCCAUUUUACCUAAGUUAGCUCUGAUAUGACUCAUUUUACCUUAGUUAGCUUACAAGUGAUCCAAUUUAUCCAAGUUAGCUCUGAAAUGACCCAUUUUAGUAGAUUAGCUCAUAAAUGAUCCAUUUUACCUAGGUUAGCUUUAAAAUGACCCAUUUCACCUAGGUUAGCUCCAAAAUGACCCAUUUGACCUAGGUUAGCUCCAAAAUGACCCAUUUCACCUAGGUUAGCUCCAAAACGAUCAAUUUCACCUAAGUUAGCUAAAAACGAUCCAUUUCACCUAAACUAGCUCUUAAAUGAUCCAUUUCACCUAAGUUAGGUCAUAAACGACCCAUUUCAACUAAGUUAGCUCAUAAAAGCUCAUAAAUGAUCCAUUUCACCUAAGUUAGGUCAUAAACGACCCAUUUCAACUAAGUUAGCUCAUAAAAGCUCAUAAAUGAUCCAUUUCACCUAAGUUAGCUCAAAAACGAUCCAUUUCACCUUACUUAGCUCAAAAACGAUGCCCUUCACCUUAGUUAGCUCAUAAAUGACCCAUUUCAACUAAGUUAGCUCAUAAAUGAUCCAUUUCACCAAAGUUAGCUCAUGAACAACCCAUUUCAACUUAGUUAGCUCAUAUAUGAUCCAUUUCACCUAAGUUAGCUCAUAAAUGACAUAUACUUCUUGUUCUAGUCUUCUUCUUGUUCUAGUCACCUAUUUCUAACUUUCUUAUUUACCAUUUUGCAGAUUUCAUUCACUUCAUGGAAGCUAGCUUGCUAUGAUGGAGUGCUUUCUUUUCCUUUGAUGAAACUUGCUUAUGUAUGAAACUUACAUUGUAUGAAACUUCUUGUUCUAGCUUUGCUUAUGUAUGAAACUUCUUGUUCUAGAUGUGAUAUGUGAAACUGAUGUGUAUGGAUGAAACUAAUGUGUGAAACUGAUGUGAUAUGUGAUAUGAAACUUAUGUGCUGGAUAUGUGAUAUGAAACUUAUGUGCUGGAUAUGUGAUAUAUAUUUGUUGUCAUAUAUAUUUGCUGUGAAAAUUGUUGGAUUAAAAAAACAGAAAAAAAGAAACAAUAUGUAGGCUCUUUGUCGUCUGCCACCGACGGCAAAGGGCUCUUUGCCAUCAGCAGCAGACGGCAAAGAGGCCACGUGGCAGGCAGCUGUGCUUCCUGGGAGGCUGACCAAUUUGGUCAGUUUGCCUACAGUGGCUGACGGCAAAGGCUUUGCCGUCAGCAGCGGACGGCAAAGGCCUGCCGUUAACCACCUAACGGAGUAACAGCGCAUUUAUUGCCGUCCAUCUUCUUUGCCGUCCGCUGCUGAUGGCAAAGGACCCUUUGCCGUCAGCUGCCCGAAGCAGACGGCAACGCAGCUCUUAGCCGUCCCCUACUUUGCCAUCACCUUUUGCCGUUCGCGGCUGACGGCAAAGGUCUUUGCCGUUUGCCAUCCAUGCCUUUGCCGUCCGCCGUGGCAGAUGGCAAAGUAGCAGAUUCCUGUAGUGUCUGCAGCGAGUGCAACCCUCUUGGCCGGCGCGCCGGUUCAAUGCCUGCGCUAUGAGAGGUUGCAUCCGUGUCAGAGCAAUCACUCCCUCCAGUCCUUUUUUGUUUGGGUAUAACAAAAUCUCGUUUUCCAUUCACAUUUUACAAGUAAAAUUCAUGGACAAACUUUGACCCAAAGUACGAUGGGGACUAGUAAACCAGAAUAGAGGUAGUAGUUUUUUUUAAUCAAAGAAGGGUUUCCCCUUCCGAUUACUGAAAACUAGCAUCUAAAUCUAAACCAUAGUAUUUUUCCUAGAACUACCAGGUUCAACAUCUCGUAACAUAAACCCAUACAACCAUACGCCAAGGAGGUACGUAGUACUACGAAUUCCAUUUUCGCUCCAUACCAAUCGUUCUAAAAACUACAUACUACUUAUAACGUGCCAUUUAAAAUCGGAACUCUUAACCCCACUAAAAACAAUAUUUUAUACGUGGCUACUCGGUCUGUGGCAACUGGCAAGCCACGGCGCUCCAAGUCGUUCACCUGUGGUCCCGACCAUCAACUCCUACAAAGGUGCUCCAUCACGUACCCGGUACCCGCGAAUGCAGCAAUCAUGAACCUAGGGUUUCAGGGUUUAUUUGUUAACAUCGCCUUUACGUAACACUCGUGUGUGCGAGACAGCGAGAGGCCGACUGCGUGCGUGCGCCUCUUCUCUUCGUAUAUGUACUCCACCGUUUGUCUGGUGUCCAAAAAAUUAUAAUAACUACUAGCAAUGUGCCAAUGCGUUGCCACACGAUCAAAGUAGAUUAAUAAAUAUUCACCGAUUUGAUAGAAAAAAAUGUCUAGUUUUGAAAUACGUAUAUCACUAAAAAUAUAUUCCUUUGGCAGUUUUGAUGAGAUAAGGGAGGCAUGUUGUUGGUUUCAAGAUUCAAGAAGUGGUAUAUGUCUAAUUUCUACUCUUAUUAGCAAGAUGCCCGUGCAUUGCACGGAACAUGAAAAUCUCGCGGGAGAAAAGGAUGAAUGAGGGAAGGCCUUAUCUGCAAAUGUGGUGAAGAGUGUGGGUAAAUUGCCAUAUUUUCCUUCCUAUCCGUCAGAUAUAAACCGGGCGACCUACAUUGCAGGAUGGCAGGCCCACCAUCAUCACCAACUCUAUUUUUAUCCCUACUCUUAUAGAAAGCAUUGUCGGUGAUGAUCGUGUGCCUGCCAUCCUGUAAUAUAGGCCGUCCGAUCUAUAUCUGAUGGAUAGGAAGGAAACUAUGGCAGUUUUGCAAAAAGAUACCCACACCCUUCUCCACAUUUGCAAAUAAGGUCUUCCCUCGUUCAUCCUUUUCCCCCACAAGGUAAACUACUCAUACAAAUGCAUCUCGAUGUUCCGUGCAAUGCAUGGCAUCUUGCUAGUUGUUGCAAAAAUCCCAUGUGUGUGUGAGAGAGACGGAGAGUGGAGGAGGAUGGAGUGCAUGUGUGACAAAGACACAAGUAGUGUGUGUGCGAUAGGGUAUCAGCUUAAAAUGAGGCGAUAGUGUGUGUGUGCACGAUCGAGAGGGCGUGUCUCAAGAAGAGAAGAAAAAGUUACAUAGAUACAAGGAGCGAGAGAGAGACAUGUAUGCGAUGGUGGAAGCAUGCGUGUGCGGGUGUAUAAACCUAUCUAGAGGCUAGCUACUCGAUAAAUGCUUGUGAGAGAAAUACGAUUCGGGGUGCGAAAGCGAGAGUUUUGUGUGUGAGGGAGAGAGACAGUAGUCGGGAAGGGGGUGGAAGCAGGUGUUGUGUGUGUGUGUGUCUGUGAGAGAGAGAGAGAGAGAGGAGAUGGUAGUCGGGGUUGUCUGAUCGGUGUCAGUCUGGGAUGGAGAUGAAAAGGAGACCGCAACAAAUGUUGUGUCUACAGGAGCGAGAGAGAGUAAUUUUAGUGGUAUGAGUCAUAUGUAGAGACAUAUAGGGUGUGUGAGAGAAUCCCAUAGAGAGAAAGACAAAGUGAAAGACGAGUGGAGACUGUGUGUGUGGCGGUGAAAAAGAAAGCUUAGGUAUCGAGUGAUACCAGAGAACAGUAGAGACGUGAGAGAUAAUGAAAACCAUGUAAUGUAUAAUGAUAGGGAGAGUGUGACACUUAUCAAGGGAGACGUCGAGAGACCAUGUUUGCGAGGAUAGGAGAAACAUGAAGUGAGCGUGCGGGUGAGGUGGAGAAAAGAGAGUGAUGGCUACCUGAAGGAGCAUGCAUGCGAGAGAGAUGGGCGUGAAAGGAGUGAACAAAAAAGGGAUUCAAAUAUUUGAAUUCGAGAUGAUGAUACAUGUAAUCCAUACUCGAACCAAAAUUGAUCUAUCAAACAUGCAUACUCAUAUGAAUUCACGCACAUCUAUGUUAUUUAAUAUGUAGAUAUUACUGAUCCAUACAUUUUAGUAGAACAUAAUUUGGUUAAAUUGUUUCGAAUUCAACCUUAAGAUUUCGAGAUCGUUGUAUUUGUAAAUCAUAUUAUACAUAUAAAGGAGUAGAAUUCUUUGUUGUGCUUUUGAAAGUAUAUAUGUAAAAAAAUGAUGUAUAUAGAAUGUAAUUCCAAUUGAUAAUGGAUCCCACCCGAAAAAAUAGUAGAAUACAAACGGGAUUCGAAUUGAGUUGGCACGGUAAACGUGCACUGUGCAAAAUUUGAACGAAGCGGGGAAAGUCGCAGUAACCGCCCGAAACCAAAAUCUGCGAGAUGGAAAUCACUACUGCCUAUCCCUGCCGUGCAAAGCCUAUCUGCUAGAUUUCUAUAGGUUUCGAUAGGGGUAGGUUUGUAAUUUCACCCAAACGUGACGUAAUCGCCUCUCACCCGGAUUCAUACACGGUGGGCACAAAAACACAGUGUGCCCUCGGCCGAAAUCGACUCCCUCCCCGAUUCAUAUUCAUACACGGUGGGCGCCAAAAACAAACUCUCGUCGGCAAAUAUUCGGUGUAUGCAAGAUUACCGUCCUAUCCCCAACCGACUAAUGUUGCUGUGAUGUAGUAGAAAUUUGAAACGGGGGCUAAGUUUGUAAAUUUCCUCGCAUUUGAGACAAGCGCGCCCUGACUACAUGGUUCCCCCUUCCUCUCUACCUCCCUUUUCCCCAUUCAUACUCCAUGGGCGCCAAAACACCCUCUCCACCCCACCCUCCUCCGUCCGCCGCUGUCCGCCACCCCAUCCACCGCCGUCCUCCUCCACCAUGCCGGAGCUGAUACCCCGAUGCCGCUGUCCAUUACAAGAGAUCGACCUCUCUCAUCCACGCCUUCGUCCACCUUGCCGGCGCCGCUCCUACGACCGUCUCGUCCACCGCGCCCCGCCGCCACCGUCUACCCUCCUAGAUCUGCUUCCACGCCGCCGACAGCCAUCGCUACCACAGCACCAUCAAAUUCUCACCAGAUGCGUACACGGCGCCGCACCAGAGGCGGUACUCUUUUGUAUCUGCUCAACUUAUUUAUCGCAGCAAGAAAAUAGAUCGCCACUGCUUUACUCUGAGUUCUUGUCUUGGUUGCGAAGUUGCCUUUGUCCGGUUUGCACCUUCAGAUCCGCCAUGACACAUUCGACACUAUGCUCCCAAUGCUUAUGGUUUUCCCCUUUUGUAUUCCACACUAGUUAAAUCACAGUAGACUAAAUUUCAAAAUUGGGUCAGUUGAUUUUUCAGAGCUCGCCGGAGUUCACCGAUGCGAUCCAAGGGACUCGGGUGGUUGUGGGGCCUCGCCGAACGAAGAAAACUCGAUGCGGGUGGGGGGUGUGGGUGGCAGAGGAACACAGGCGGUGGCGGCCGGUGGUCCGGCCGGUGGCCCGUGCGGUGUUCUGUAUGGGAAGAAUCACAGACGAGGAAGAAGAAGGGUUAGGAGACGUAGGAUCUUCAUCCAGCCGCCUGAAAUGGUCGAGAGACAGCUGGGAGUUGCAUUCUUAAUGCGCUCUGGUUCAUCAUGUGUGGGCACUGCGCAACCAACAUUUUAUUAUCCAAAAUCUGCUUGCUCUUCUUUACCAUGUUCGAUAGAGCUGUGACAGAAAACGUAGGACCGAAUCCAGCAGACUGUACCCAUACUUCACUGGCCACACCACUAGCCCCACCACAUAGGACCUGCACUCCAGCAAAAGGUAUACCGAUUUCAUUUGCCAUAGCACCAGCUGUACCACAGAAAAAUCCCACUCCAGCAAAAAGUAAAGCAAGUCCACCGGCCGAAGACCUAUCCCAACUGCAUAGACAGCCAAUUCCUGCAGAUUGGAACCCCAUUCCAUUUAUUCCCUGUUUAAAAGACAAUGCUUUCAAUGUUGUUAGGGACUACGUGCAUAUAUUCCCAUCAUGGGAAGAUUAUUGUGAAGACAAACACCAUUUUCACAUCUUCCUGUCCAACUUAUGUGUAAGUGCUAUUAUUCAUGGUUAAUUUUUUCCUGUUUUCUGAUGAUUGAACACAUCAAUGAUUUACAUUACAUUGUUGUAACUAGGUGUCGGGGAAACUGAUCCACGAACACCUAUGGGACCGGCGGACCGAGCCCCUUUUGAUUCGGCGGGGGGCGGAGAUCGCACAAAGAGCGGAUCGAGGCAAAGCACACGAGCAGUUUACCCAGCUUCGUAGCUCUCCGGAGAUAUAAUACUCCUACUACUGCAUGUCUGAGUAUAUUGAGUUCUUGCUCGGGAGCGCUGAAUGCUACAGUACACUCUAGCUGCUAACGAGACCGAGCGUGAGUGUGUUUCUGGCUUCGAACCUUUCGAACCCCCCUCUACGUUGCGCAUGGGCCUCCUUUUAUAUGCUCAAGGGGUCACCGACAGGUGGCAACGUAGGCAAGGGUAAAAAUGGAAAAGUGUUGCGGUUGGUACAACUACCUGUACAGUGUAUCCUACCUAACCCUGACGGUAGGGGACAAAGGCAUUAAAUUCCCGUCUGCGUCGCCCAAAUAGUGCAGAAAGGGACCGUCAGGGGCGCCACCGCUUGCCACGAUGGCAAUCUUGUCAGCGCCGCUUGCCACUGCGCACCGCUGGCUGCACAACCUCUUGCCACGUGCACCUGGAAAGGCCCCAGGGCGACAUGUUGGUGGAUAUGCUGGAGCGUGGGUACAGAGUGGUAGCUUGCCGCGGCAAGCGCCUUGCCGCGGUUGUUGUCUUGUCGCGUCCGGAAGCUUGUCGCUCACCGGGCCUUGCCGGGACGCGUGGCGCGUCGCGGCAAGUUCCUUGAGAUGCCUUGGUUGGCCUUCCCGGCAAGCUCCUCUUGCUGGGGCCUUGUCUCCUUGGCUUGAAUACUUUGUUCUUGAAUGGCUCCAAAGGAACCACGAAGGACCUUGGCGGUCACCCGACAAGCCUUGCCGCGGGGUGCUGCAACUACCCGCACACAAGUUCGGGAUACUAGGGUACCCUACUCUAGUACACCGACAGGAGCCCCCGGGCCUGGGCCACACACGGUGCCGAGCGCUGUUGGGCCAGGCCCAAAACAGGGCACGGGCACGCGCGGCCUGGGUUACGCCGUAUCUUACUCCGUAUCAACCGCGCCCUCCCCGAACGGCACGCGUCGAAUGCGGCAUCGUGGGAGAGAUCGUGGGUGGUUUCUUUAUUCGGAAAGACGGAACAUCCGCCCCCUCCCUCUUUAUAAGCAGGGGAAACAGGGGCAGUUCGCCCAUCUCGCCGGUUGCUACUCCAACCUCAGAAAUCUCCGCCGCUCCCCCCUUCUUCCCAAAGAUGAAAGAGAGCAGCGCUCCGCCCCCCAUCGCCACCAGCACCACCAGCACCGUCGAUCUCCCCCACCACCUCUGCCAUGGCUCCGAAAGCCGACAAGGGGAAGGGUGUGAAGUCGGCCAAGGCGCAGCGGCUCGCGGCGCUGCGAAAGGAGCGGGCAACCUCCCCCCCCCCCAGCUCGCCGCGAAGGAGCUGAGGGAGUAUUACUACCUCUUCUGGUCGACGGAGACGCGAGCGCAUCCACGCACGAAGGUACUCUCAGCUGCCGCUUCGGAAUUGGCUCCGAAUGGAUAUCCCUUCUUCGCGUUGUUCUUCUACUGCAAGCUCUGCCCGCCUUUCUCUGAAUUUUUCUGUGACAUCAUGAACACUUACGGGCUCCGCCUCCUUGACUUCACCCCCAAUGCCGUUCUGACCAUGGCAGUUUUCGCACAUCUCUGCAAAAACUUUGUCGGAGUCUAUCCAAAUGUAGCUCUUUUCCGCCACUUCUUUAUGCCUCGAGUUGAGAGAGGAGAGCCUUUAUCCAGCGGAAUCGCCUGGAUCUCGAGAACCGGCAAGAAGGAAGCUUAUCUGGAGGGAGAGCUCCGCAGCAAGUUGGAUGAAUGGAGAGCAGAUUGGUGCUGGAUUGUCGAGGAGAACCCGCAGCCAUUUACCGCCCAGCGCCAAGCCCCAGUAGUGCGCGGCAACGAUUGGAGCAACGUGGCCCCGGAAGACAGUAGGCUGAAGAUUGCCGUCACCCGGAUCCUACGCCUCGGGCUUGCCGGGCUCACCGUAGGCGCUGUUGGCGCAGAUUUUCUCUGUUGCCGCAUCGCCCCCCUGCAGGAGAGGAGGAGGCCCGCCUGGGAGUUCCAGAAUGCGGUGGAUAUCAUGAGGCUGCGCCCGGGCCUCAACUUCAACUUCACCGUCCUGGAACUGGACGCGAUGCUCCUGGAACUGUUCAAGCACGAUCCUGAACAUCCCGGAGUGUUCAGGUUGCCGAGGCGUGUCAUUCCGCUGUGCAACAACUCCUCGCUCGACUGCAUCCGUGCCAUGAUGCCGCUGUGCGAUUCGCAUGGAAUUGUCCCCACUUGGCAAGAGCCUGCAGACGACGUCGUGCAGGAGUUCUUUGAUAGCUUGGUGGAAGUGCCGAUCCGCUCUGAUGAACAGAAGAGCCUCACCCGCGACACUACCGAUGAUGAGAUGCAGCGCAUCGCCACUAGGCUGGAAGAGGCGGCGGCAGCCGCUGCCGCGGGCGAGUUUGGAUUCACCAUGGAGGAGGCAGAGGCAGCAGAGGCGGCAAGCCUUGUCGAGCAAGGAGAGAUUGCCGGUGAGGGAGAGCUUGCCGGGUCUGAAGCUGAGUUGAGCGAGCCCGCCGAGGGCGCGAGCGAAUCGCUGAGGAUUGGCUCCUCCUCUUCCCCACCUCCAGACAGCUUGCCGCAAGCAGAGCCCCCAGCUCCACCAAGAAGGCGUCUCCGCAAGGCCGGUGACGUAGCGGGGCGGCAGACGAGUCAACAGCCGCCGCGCCGCGCGACACGCUCUACCGCGGCAAGCACUAUUGCUGCGGGAGCGCCUCACGCCGCUGCGGCAACUGGAGCGGGGUCUUCCCGGUCCACCGCUUCUGCCCUUGCCAAGCGGCUAAGGGAGCCUACUCCUCCGCCUCGUCGCGCCGGAGGGGAGCCGGACUUUGAUCUCUCCGCGCUCAGCUCCGACGAGGAAGAAGAAGAGUAAGAUUCUCUGCUAUACUCGUAGUUCUUCAAUUCUUGCUGUUUUGUCUUGUAUCUGAUUUGCUUUACUCCGAACCCAUUCCUUUUCAGACGCUGGCCCAGAGAGCGGCGAAGAGAGCCAAGGCCCCGGUGAUUGUCAUCGAGGAUGAACCCAUUGCGACGGCAGGGGACAUGUCCGAGACCACCUUGCCGGACCCGGCAACCAUUCCCCAAAGCAGCCCCCAGCGCAGCCCCCAGCGUAAGUAUAUGGUUUACUUCCUGUUGUUAGGCGCGCAUGGGUGCUCUUUCUUUGCUGAUAUCUGACUGUUGGUUUGUGUAGGAGCAGAGCAACCUCACCAGGAGUGCCCAGAAGCCGCUCCCAAAAUGCCAUCUGCUUCGACUACACCUCCAAGGAAGGAUUCCCCGGCAAGGGAGCGUUCUCCGGCAAGGGAGAAUUCUCCGGCAAGAGACAGCACCAGCGACCCUCCGGUGGUUGAGACCACGACUGAAGAUCCUAGUACAGGUAAUCCUCUUGCUUGAAAACUUUCCUUGGGUUCUUCUUCUUCUGAUUUUCUUUUUGAAUAUUUGCUUGACUUUUCUCCCUUCUCUGGUCGUCAGAUCCAUCUGCCAUGGAGCCAAUGGAAACCGAGGUCGCCGGCGAGGAGAACGCGCGUGGCAAUACCGACGAUGCCGUUGCCACCGAAGAAGAAGCCGACGCUGAUGAUCCCGCCGGCAAGAGGCCACCAAAGCUGUCGCCGCAGAAGUUGGCGAGGGGUCCGGCGAUCGCACUGACGACCCUGAGGCCGCAGGAGUGCCAGGCGCUAUGCCGACCGCCAAUCCCUUCGCCGCUGCUGCCGUGUCAGGCUCCGAAGAGCCCCAGCCCGGCACCUAUUUGAAGGCCCGUGAUGGCGUCUUCAUCAAGCUCCCCUGGGCGUCAAGCUCCAGGGCGCCGGUCGAAGGAGAAAUCUUGGAUGGAGAGGUGCUCGCCUCCGCUGGGCUGACGCUGGUCGACGCGCCAAGCAGCAGCAGCGGCGAGCCUGAGGAGGAGCGGUUGCUGCGGAAGCUGUUGUCACUAUACCGUGCUUGACAGGCCAAGCUGGAAUCGCGAGAAGCGCUUGUUGCGAAGGUGGCAGUAGACAUUGAGAAGCGCGUGGAGGAGCUCCGGGGUCUCAGGCAGGAAGCUCUCCGGUCCCUGGCAGAGGAGUGGGAGCAACUCACCGAGGCGCGGAAAGCCUUCCUCCUCGAGAAGGCUGAAGUUGAAGAGCAACAGCGGCUUGUCGCCGAGAAGCUAUCUGCGCAGGAAGGCGAGUUGGCGCAGCGGAAGGUCAAUCUUGACAGCCAUGAGGAGGAGCUUGCCGCGCGCGAGCAAACAUUUGGUGGGGCUCUCAAGGAAGCAAAGGAUGCUGCCGCAACUGCCGAGGCCACCAAGAAGGAGCUGGAGACGAAGGUGGCACAGCUGGAGGCCGACCUCAAGGCGAGCGGCGAGGAGCUUGCUGCGCUCAAGCGUGAGCGCGAGAAGGACGCCACCGCUCAUGGUGAGCUGCAGGGUCGUCUUGCUGAGAGGAGCAAGGAGCUUAGCGCCGCCAAGGACUCCAAUGCAGAUCUUGAGUUGAAGCUGACUACAUUGACAAUUACUCUGGACGGCGCCAAGGAGCGGGAGGUGGCCUUGAAGGAGAAGAUCAAGGCCGACGAGGCGCUGCUGGCGAGUGCUGCUGCCGCCCAGAACACUUUUAGGGAGAAUGUGGAGCACUGGACGGAGGGUCUCGUGAAUGUUGCCGCAACCAUCGACGGGGAGCUGGCGCAGCUGGGGAUGGAGGAUCUCGGGUACUCCUCCGAUGAGCACCUCCAACCCAGCGCCAAGCUCAGCUUGUUCUUCAAAGGCGCGGCGACGGCCCUCCAGCGACUCCGGGAAAGGAUCCCAAAGCAGCUGGCCGACGAGUCGCGCAAGACCUGCGCGGGAGCUCUUCAAAAGGUGCUGGUGAAGGUGGCCUUCCGCAACCCAGGCCUCAACCUCACCAACGUCCUCAGGUCCUUGCCGCCGGAUGCUGAUCUGGAAGCGUUCAAGACCCUUGUCGCACCCAUUGUGGACAAGGUGAGCGGAAUCAAGAGGGUUGAGGGCGAUCGCGUAGAUUAGGCCGCCCGUUUUCCCUUUUUCUUGUCGCUACUGGUCAUGUUAUGAGAACAAUCUGUUAGAGUUGCGACAAGCUAUCUUGUAAUAUAACUCCAUUUUGGGUAGCGAUUACUAUGUUAUUUCCUUUACUUGAUUCCUUCCUUUGUAUGUUUUUGCCCUACGCUUUUAGGGAACUUGUCGGCGCAGGCACCUUAGCCGCGAGCGCUGAGUGCGGAACGUCAGCAACCUGCUGGCGGUGCCGCUACCGACAAGAAACCUUGUCGCAACUAGUCACAGCUCACUUAAGUUGUUGAGCGGACUCGAAACAAAGUAAGGGCGCAACUAGCUACGAGUUGGUUCCUUCGCGCACAGGUUUUCCAUACAAAGCACGGUCGUUUGAGGAAGAUAACUCAAAAAUUUUAAAACUGAUUGCUCAAACUUUGGCAACUUAGCUUUUCUGUCGUUUGCUUCCCGGUAAGGCGAAACUUUCUUGAACGACGCCUGGUCCACAUUAUCUUCUCCUUUCGGCAAGUGCUCUUGCGCCAAUGUGGUGACCACAUAUGCCUCCAUGUAUCUCUGCCAACAGCUGUUGUCCGUCUUCCCGGCGAAUACACUUCAAUUUCACACCGUUGAGUCUUCUUCUGUACAGUGUGUCGUUGACAAACUGGUACAUACUUGACUGCCGGGCUACUCUUUCCGCUUCUUCUUGCUCUUCGGGAAGUUCUCCUGUCUGAAGGAAAUGAACAAUCUGCUGUGCCCAUGCUGGAGCUUGUGGCUCGACAACAAGGACUAAAGGCACAUCUGCUGCUGCGGGAACAUCCGCUUCUACAGCGAGAACCUGCGGCUCAGCUGGAGCUUGAUGUUCCCCAGCAAGCUUGCCGGAGCAAAACUUGUCGGGAGUGUCUGCUUCAACAGAACAAACCCUAAGGCUUGCCGGAGCAAACUGCUCCUCAGCACCCUUGGUGUUGAUCUUGGGGACCUUCUUGGCGGCGGCCUCGGGGAGUUCUUCCGGAAAAUAGUCGCCAGAAAUCAACUUCCUCUUUUUGCACUGUCCAGUUGAUGGCGUUACAGACGGCUGAGUCAGCUUGAGCACAAAGAUCCCUGGUUCCACAGGUAACUUAAGUGCGGCGCACUUUGACAGGCCAUCGGCAAUGUUGUUCUGAGCUCUUGGAACAUGUUCCAUCUGUAGGCCGUCAAAGUGCUCUUCUAGCUUUCUCACUUCAUCAACGUAAGCUUCCAUCAACGGACUCUGAUAAUUCUUGUUCACCUGGCGGAUGACAAGCUGUGAGUCACCCCUGACAAUGAGCUUCUUGAUCCCAAGGUCUGUUGCGAUCCUGAGACCGGCAAGCAAACCUUCAUAUUCUGCGGUAUUGUUUGUUGCUUUCUCCUUGGGAAAGUCCAUCUGGACUACGUACUUGAGGUGUUCUCCAGUGGGUGCAACAAGUAGCACGCCUGCACCGGCGCCUUGCAGCGAGAAGGCACCAUCAAAGUACAUCAGCCACUCUUUGCUUGCUUCCUUGACGGGGAUGCUUGUUUCUGGAAUUUCUUCAUCUUGUGUUGGCGUCCACUCUGCUAUGAACUCUGCCAAUGCUCUGCUUCUGAUAGUUGAAGUGCUCUCAAACUUGAGGCCAAAGCUUGACAGUUCUAGUGCCCACUCGACAAUCCUGCCUGUUGCUUCUGGAUUUUGCAGUAUCCUCUUCAGCGGAAAACGAGUGACGACUGUGAUCUCAUGUGCUUGGAAGUAAUGGCGCAGCUUUCUCAAGGCCAUUAGAAGGCCGAAAAGCAAUUUCUGCACACCAGAGUACCUUGACCUAGCCCCCUGCAGAAAGGAACUGACAAAGUAAAUUGGGCGCUGCACCAUUCUCUUCUGCAUCUCCUUACGCGCCUACGCAGAUCCAUCUUUGUCGGGACCAGAGCUUGUCGGUGAAGUUUCCUGCUUGUCGCUGGAUGCAUCUGCCGUGGUUGCUGGCUCAUCAUCCGCCUCCCUCUCCGCCACUAACGCAGCACUAACCACUUGAUUGGUUGCCGCUAUAUAUAGCAGCAACUUCUCUUGUGGCUUAGGUGCGACAAGUGUUGGAGCGGAGGACAGGUAUCUCUUCAAGUCCUGCAGCGCAGCCUCCGCCUCCGGAGUCCAUUUCAUUGGACCUGCCUUUUUCAAUAUUUUGAAAAACGGCAAGGCGCGCUCGGUAGAUCUAGAGAUAAACCUACUGAGAGCAGCCACGCAACCGGCAAGUCUUCGUACAUCCUUGACGCGCUUUGGUGCUUCAAUCUGCUCAAUGGCCUUGAUCUUGUCGGGAUUGGCUUCAAUUCCCCGCUGAGACACAAAGAACCCGAGAAGCUUGCCGGAGGGGACUCCAAACACACACUUCUCGGGGUUAAGCUUGAGAUUGAUCUUGCGCAGAUUUGCAAAGGUUUCAUCUAAAUCUUGAAUCAGAGUUGCCUUGUCCUUGCUCUUGACCACUAUGUCAUCCAUGUAGGCUUCCACAUUUCUGUGUAUUUGUGGCUCAAAAGCGUCAUGGACUACCCUUGCAAAUGUUGAACCAGCAUUCUUUAAACCGAAAGGCAUCCGUAUGAAACAGUAUGUGCCACAUGGAGUGAUGAAAGCGGUCUUCUCCUCAUCCUCUUCUGCCAUGAAGAUCUGAUGGUAUCCUGAGUAUGCAUCAAGAAAUGAAAGCAAGUCACAUCCGGCCGUGGAGUCAACAAUCUGGUCGAUGCGCGGCAAGGGAAAUGGGUCUUUGGGACAAGCUUUAUUGACAUCGGUAAAGUCGAUACAAAGCCUCCAUUUCCCAUUUGCCUUGCGUACGACUACAGGAUUGGCCAACCAUGUAGGAUGGAGUACUCCUCUGACAAGGCCUGCUGCUUCCAAUUUCUUGAUUUCUUCUGCGAUGAAUUCUUGGCGCUCCACUGCCUGUUUCCUGACUUUCUGCUUGAUGGGCCACGCAUGAGGACAGACGGCAAGAUGGUGCUCGAUUACUUUCCUGGGAACACCGGGGAUGUCAGACGGUUGCCACGCAAACACGUCGACGUUCGCCCGCAGGAAAGCAACGAGCGCGCUUUCCUAUUUAGGGUCGAGAGUGGCACUGAUGGUGAAGGUACCACCAGUGCCAUCCUCCUUGGCGGACACCUUCUUGGUCUCUGGUGGAGCUGCCAUUGUCUUCUUACACUUGCCGGUGGAGCUCGAUGGUGCGUCCUCGACGGUAGCGCAGCACUCCGAAGAGGUGCGCUUGCCGGAGUGGGCAUCAGAAUUCUUGCCAGACUUGGUCUUCUUCUUCCCCCCGGGAGCUUCAGCGGCAAGUGACUUGCGAUCUAUUGCGGCUGCUGCUUCCCGUUAGAUCUUGUCGGCUCAGAUAAGGGCAUCCUUCUUGUCACCAGGGAUAGAGAUGACACUUAUCGGGCCCAGCAUCUUCAGCAUGUUGUAUGCAUAGUGAGAGGCUGCCAUGAAUUUGGCGAGUGCUGGACGACCGAGUAUCCCAUUGUAAGGCAAUGAAAGUCAGCAACGUCAAAAGUGACCCUCUCAGUCCUGAAGUUCAACUCGCUGCCGAAUGUCACCGGCAACGUGAUCUUUCCCUUCGGCUUGCUCCUUCCCGGAUUGAUUCCUUGGAAUGUGUCGGUCUCUUCGAGCUCGCUAUCAGGGAUCUGGAGUUUGUGGAGUACCGCGGAGGAGAUCAGGUUCAGGACGGCCCCGCGGUCAACUAGCAUCUUAGUGACCUUGAGGUUGCGGAUAGUUGGUGAAACCAACAUCGGCAAGCACCCGACCGCAGUUAUGCGAUCAGGGUGGUCCUCAAUAUCAAAGAUGAUAGGCGUGCUGGACCAUUUCAGAGGCUUGCGUGACUCGAUGGGUGGUUCUGCCGCAUUGACUUCCCGCACCCACUGCUUGAGCUGGCGGUGUGAAGUACGCAGAGAAGCACCGCCGUCAACGCACAGGACCUUUGUGGCUUUCUGGAACUCCUGCUCAUCGGUCUCAUCAUCAUCCAUAUCUUCAUCGUCAUCGUCAUCUUCAUCCUUGUCGCGGCCGCGGGGAGGUCUGUCUCCUUGCCGCUGCUUGGCCUUGCCGCGGCGUCCCCCUCGGCCGGGGCGUUUCUAGCCGGCUCCUCCAACACCUUCCUGGGCCUUCUCCUUGUCGCGUCGCUCGUAUUCAGCCUUUUGCUGCUCGACAAGCUGCUCGACUUUCUUGCAGCUCUGGAGGUCAUGGCCCUUGGUGCGGUGGAUCUUGCAGUACUGCUUGUUGGUGCCGUCCUGCUUGUCGGUGACCGCCACGGCCUGGUAGUUGGUGCCCGCGGCAAUCUCCUUGUCGGAGCUACCAGCUUUGGCUUUCUUGGCGCCACCUCCGUUGCCGGACUGCUCAACGACUAGCACUUCUUUGCCUUUCUUCUUCCUGUUGUUCCGCCACCGGUUUUUCUUUGUCGGGGCAGCAUCCUCACUAUCAGAUCCUCCUACUUCUGUAUUCUCUCCAGGGAGUUUCCUCCCUUCCUCAGCAUGUGCACACUUGUCGGCCAGGGCAUAUAGCUCACUGACAUCCCUGAUCUUGCACAUCGCCAUCUCCUCCCGCAUCCUGCGGUUCCGCAUGUUCUGAUGGAACGCGCUGAUUACCGCGGCAGGGUGGACAUCUGGGAUGUUGUGCUGUACACGGCUGAAUCUCCGAAUGUACUUGCGUAGGGGCUCUCCUUCCUUCUGGGUGAGCAGAUGAAGGUCGCUCUCUUGGCCAUGAGGCUUGUGGCCGCCUGUAAAGGCGCCGACAAACUGAUGGCAUAGGUCUGCCCAGGAGGAUAUGGAGUUGUCCGGCAAGUGCAUGAGCCAGGAUCUGACAUUGGGCUUGAGCACCAGCGGGAAGUAGUUGGCAAGGAUCUUGUCGUCCCGCCCCCCGGCAGCUUGCACCGCGAUGGUGUAGAUGCUGAGGAACUCCGACGGAUGCGACUUGCCGUCGUACUUCUCUGGUACGUCUGGCUUGAAAUUCUUCGUGCUGGGCCACUGGACUUGCCGCAGCUCAUGAGUGAAUGCAGGGCAACCUACCGCGUACGGCAAGUCACCUGGUUCCCUGGUGCAUGCAUGUCGACAGAGGGCCCAGCGCGCUGGUCCGAUUGACGCCGCGCUUCUCUUUGGCGCUCGAUGCGAGUACGAGCGUCUUCUUGCUGUCGUUCGUGAAGAACUUGGCGCUGAUCGCGACAAGCUCGUGGAUCUGAUGAUGCGGUGGAGUCGCUGUCGAGGUGGAUCCGGCGAGUCAGCGAUCUUGGCCUUCGGGGUGGAGAGUGCAUGGUGGUUGCACCCCCACCGGUUUUGCCGCCAUCGGCUCACGCCUGGCAGUCCUGCCGCGGCAUCGAUGUACUCGGCUGCCGCGGAGUGUCGCCGUUGGCAAAGCCGAUGAGACUCUGAAUGGUGGCCCUCCAUUCGUCGAUCUUGUCUGCCGUUGGAGGGUAAUCCAGGAGCAGUUGAGCUCGCGCCAAAGCUUCUGCUGGAGUGGUGGGCGGCAGUGGCGAACGGUGCGAGGAGCGGGAUAUGAUCAGACUUCUAACUAUGUUAGAAGGAGAAGUAUCCCGUCCAGGCGACCGUGCCUCGCUCGUGCCAGCAUGUUGGCGUGCAUGCUGGUCUUGAGCACCCCGAGAUCCACUAGCUCGAUCUUGGUCCAACGAACGCAUGGUACUGCGAAUACCAUGACGAUGUCGGUCCUACGCCUCUUGAGAUGGGCGCGGUGCAUGUACGGACGCCGAGGUCUGCGCAGCCUUGCCCUUGGGCCUGGCAGCGCCUACCCCACCAUCCGUUUGCUCCGGUGGUGGCGGGAUCGACGUGGACGGAACAAUUGCCUCCGAAGCCUUCUUCUUCGGUGGCAUGUCAAUGAAGAAGAUGAAGAUCUAGCUCGUGUGAAUGCCGGAUCAGGUUCACACAAUCUCGACGCCCCCUACCUGGCGCGCCAAAGAUGUCGGGGAAACUGAUCCACGAACACCUAUGGGACCGGCGGACCGAGCCCCUUUCGGUUCGGCGGGGGGCGGAGAUCGCACGAAGAGCGGAUCGAGGCGAAGCACACAAGCAGUUUACCCAGCUUCGGAGCUCUCCGGAGAGAUAAUACUCCUACUGCUGCAUGUCUGAGUAUAUUGAGUUCUUGCUCGGGAGCGCUGAAUGCUACAGUACACUCUAGCUGCUAACGAGACCGAGCAUGAGUGUGUUUCUGGCUUCGAACCUUACGAACCCCCCUCUACGUUGCGCAUGGGCCUCCUUUUAUAUGCUCAAGGGGUCACCGACAGGUGGCAACGUAGGAAAGGGUAAAAAUGGAAAAGUGUUGCGGUUGGUACAACUACCUGUACAGUGUAUCCUACCUAACCCUGACGGCAGGGGACAAAGGCAUUAAAUGCCCGUCUGCGUCGCCCAAAUAGUGCAGAAAGGGACCGUCAGGGGCGCCACCGCUUGCCACGAUGGCAAUCUUGUCAGCGCCGCUUGCCACUACGCACCGCUGGCUGCACAGCCUCUUGCCACGCGCGCCUGGAAAGGCCCCAGGGUGACACGUUGGUGGAUAUGCUGGAGCCUGGGCACAGAGUGGUAGCUUGCCGCGGCAAGCGCCUUGCCGCGGUCGUUGUCUUGUCGCGUCCGGAAGCUUGUCGCUCACCGGGCCUUGCCGGGACGCGUGGCGCGUCGCGGCAAGUUCCUUGAGAUGCCUUGGUUGGCCUUCUCGGCAAGCUCCUCUUGCCGGGGCCUUGUCUCCUUGGCUUGAAUACUUUGUUCUUGAAUGGCUCCAAAGGAACCACGGAGGACCUUGGCGGUCACCGGGCAAGCCUUGCCGCGGGGUGCUGCGACUGCCCGUGCACAAGUUCGGGAUACUAGGGUACCCCUACUCUAGUACAACGACACUAGGCGAGGGUCAAUCUGGAUAGUCAUGACGAGGAAAGCUUUCUUGUGCUUUUCAAGGAAGCAUUGCAGCAGUAUCGGUGUUACCUGAGGAAAUCACACUUUGGUGGCAAAUCUAUAAACGAAUUUCCGGUGAAGUCUCCUGUGCUAAAUUUAGAAGACAUUGAAUGGAAAAACAUUGUUAUGCACUGGUCUCGUUCCCAGGAUGAGGUACUGUCUAUGAAAUCACAUGACAAUUUGAACUUCUACUUUUCCGCAUGUGCCUUACGGAUCUUGUUUGCAGGAAAUUUGCUCGAAAAAGAAUUCCGGUUUGAAAAGAAUGACAGGAUAUCGCAAAUAUGCUGCCCGCUGCUUUGCUCUUAUUAGUACUUGUUGUCCUGUAUCAAUGUACUUGCAUACAUACCUGGUUCAUUAUGUGACAGCAGUAUGCAUGAUAGCUUGCUUAUCAAUUGUUCGCUCCAAAUUCUUCAGUUCCAAAGCCAAUGUUUUUUAGCUCUGCAUUGUUCUUGUAAGUACAUGCUGUCCUUUAUCAGUGUACUUAUAAUGACAGGUAGUUGUUCAUGUACCAUCACUCUGCAGCUUAUUUUCCUUUGCCCUCCAUUUUCUACACAUCAAAUCUAUAUUUACUCCUACCAUAAGGUUGGUACUGAAGAAAUUUAGCUGUGCAUUGCUCUUGGUUGUACCUUUUGCCUGUAUCGCUGCACUUACAUUUAUAGCUACUUGGUUAUGUAGCAUCACUCUUUAUCUUAUCUUAAAUAUUCUCCAUUUUUUCGUAUAUUAUCACAUCUAUAUUUACUCUUAACAAAAUGUAGAAUAAAGGCAAUGCUUAUGAAGAAGAUUCUGUGGUAAACUUCUUGAAUUACCCCCCCCCCAUCAGCAUGGACAAGGCCUUUAUAGAGCCUGUCUUCACCAAUAAUGUAAGUUUGUCCAUCUCAAGCCUUCAAACUUUGUUGUAUAUAUUUGGUUAGGCAUGACUGCAACAGCUGUUUAUUUUUGGUGUUUGCAUCAAAUUGCAUGUUUAAUGUUUAUUAUGUACUCCCUCGAAUCCAAAAUAGAUGACCCAAUUUUGUACUGAAGUUAGUAUAAAGUUGGGUCAUAUAUUUUUAGAACGGAGGGAGUAGUUCAUAAACAAAAGUUUGUCCUUUCUCAAUUUAAGUUUUCAGUUGUACAACCAAGUUCCUUAUUCAUACCAUGUAAAUUAAAGUAUACAGAGCAAGUGAUCUUCUUUUGCACUGCAUGUAUGCUUCUGUUCUUCAUCCGUAAUCCAGUGGUGUGGUGAACCUACCCACUACAGCACAAUGUCAUAUUCUGCAAUGUCUUAACUAUGAACAAUGUCAUAUCAUUCUACUACUCCCUCCGUCCGAAAAUACUUGUCAUUGAAAUGGAUGUAUCUAGAUGUAUUUUAGUUCUAGACACAUCCAUUUUGAUGACAAGUAAUUCCAGACGGAGAGAGUAUUAUUUAAACCGUCUCUUUAUUUGCCAAUCUGAAAUGGGAUAAAUUGACAGCACACUAACCAUUGAUACUUAUGAGUUCUUGAUCUGUAAUCCAGUGGUGUCGUGAAGCUGCCAACUCCUUCACAAUGUCAUUUCCUGCCAUGUCUUGACCUGAACAAUACCAUAUUGUGUUAAUGCAAUUUUAAACUCUGUCACUUUAUUCGUCAGAAGAAAUGUGAUGAAUUGUCAGCACUGAUACUUUUAUGUGCAAAACCUGUCAUCUGUCUGCUUGUUUAUCUUUCAGAGUGAGGAAGAUUUAAGUGUUGAACAAGCGCAGUCUCAUCAUCUUGCUCAGCUGCUUGCGCUGCAGCUCCCCAGCAGGGCUAACUUUUCUUAAACUCUAUUGAAGUGAUGUUGGUUUUGUAUAUUAUUUUUUCAGCGUGUUUAUUUGCACUGGUGGCGAUCUUUGAUGCCCAGGUAUGUAAUCUGCUAUCUGCUUGUGCUAAAUUAUCAUAGUGGCCAACUUUGAUGCCCAGUGGAUGUAAUAUGUUGUAAUUUCUUUUUUGUAUAGUCUAGGUUUUUUCUUAUUCACCAUGCUGCAGUUAUUUUAUUGUCUUUGCAGUAAACCGGCCAAACCGUAAAAUUACGGUACAUAAUCGGGCCGUCAUGCAAUCACGAUGUAGGUUGGGCCUGAAACAUGCCGAACAGCUAAUGGGCCGGCAACAGCCCGAAAUGAACCCUGGCCCAUGAUUGUGCGAAUCAAAUCACGGGCUUUUAACAGGCCAAAAUUGUCUCGGUCCUUCUUUGGCCCAAUCAGAUAUCGGUUGCGAGCAGGCCGGAUGCAAACGGGGCCGUAGUUAGGCCCAACUAUAUGACGGGCAUUUAACAGGCCAAAAUUAAUAUGGGGCCGAAAUGUUAAACGGGUCCUUAAGAGGCCAAAACUAAUGUCAGGCCGAAUUACUAAGUGGGCCUCUAGCAAGUGGGCCCAAAAGCAUAGUGUCCAGUUGACGGGCCGAAUCUGAUAUGGGCCAUAAUUGAUCCCAUAGCUUCUUAAAGGGCCGUACCUGAUCUGGGCCGUAAUUUGGCCCAGAACGUGGUAGGCUUUUAGCGGGCCGGAUCUCAUAUGGGCCACUAUUAGGCCCGGAACGUGGCAGGCCAUUAAUGGACCGGAUCAAAUAUGGGCCGGCAUUUGGCCCAAAACAUGGCAACCAGUUAAUGGGCCGGCCUACUAGGGCCCUCAAAUUCUUGUGGGCCUACAGCUGGGCCAUCCCGUUAAUGUCGGCGAAAUCUCGUGGGCCUCUCAAGGAAGCAAAGGAUGCUGCCGCAACUGCCGAGGCCGCCAAGAAGGACCUGGAGACGAAGGUGGCGCAGCUGGAGGCCGACCUCAAGGCGAGCGGCGAGGAGCUUGCUGCGCUCAAGCGUGAGCGCGAGAAGGACGCCACCGCUCAUGGUGAGCUGCAGGGUCGUCUCGCUGAGAGGAGCAAGGAGCAUAGCGCCGCCAAGGACUCCAACGCAGAUCUUGAGUUGAAGCUGACUACAUUGACAAUUACUCUGGACGGCGCCAAGGAGCGGGAGGUGGCCUUGAAGGAGAAGAUCAAGGCCGACGAGGCGCUGCUGGCGAGUGCUGCUGCCGCCCAGAACACUUUUAGGGAGAAUGUGGAGCACUGGACGGAGGGUCUCGUGAAUGUUGCCGCAACCAUCGACGGGGAGCUGGCGCAGCUGGGGAUGGAGGAUCUCGGGUACUCCUCCGAUGAGCACCUCCAACCCAGCGCCAAGCUCAGCUUGUUCUUCAAAGGCGCGGCGACGGCCCUCCAGCGACUCCGGGAAAGGAUCCCAAAGCAGCUGGCCGACGAGUCGCGCAAGAUCUGCGCGGGAGCUCUUCAAAAGGUGCUGGUGAAGGUGGCCUUCCGCAACCCAGGCCUCAACCUCACCAACGUCCUCAGGUCCUUGCCGCCGGAUGCUGAUCUAGAAGCGUUCAAGACCCUUGUCGCACCCAUUGUGGACAAGGUGAGCGGAAUCAAGAGGGUUGAGGGCGAUCGCGUAGAUUAGGCCGCCCGUUUUCCCUUUUUCUUGUCGCUACUGGUCAUGUUAUGAGAACAAUCUGUUAGAGCUGUGACAAGCUAUCUUGUAAUAUAACUCCAUUUUGGGUAGCGAUUACUAUGUUAUUUCCUUUACUUGAUUCCUUCCUUUGUAUGUUUUUGCCCUACGCUUUUAGGGAACUUGUCGGCGCAGGCACCUUAGCCGCGAGCGCUGAGUGCGGAACGUCAGCAACCUGCUGGUGGUGCCGCUACCGACAAGAAACCUUGUCGCAACUAGUCACAGCUCACUUAAGUUGUUGAGCGGACUCGAAACAAAGUAAGGGCGCAACUAGCUACGAGUUGGUUCCUUCGCGCACAAGUUUUCCAUACAAAGCACGGUCGUUUGAGGAAGAUAACUCAAAAAUUUUAAAACUGAUUGCUCAAACUUUGGCAACUUAGCUUUUCUGUCGUUUGCUUCCCGGUAAGGCGAAACUUUCUUGAACGACGCCUGGUCCACAUUAUCUUCUCCUUUCGGCAAGUGCUCUUGCGCCAAUGUGGUGACCACAUAUGCCUCCAUGUAUCUCUGCCAACAGCUGUUGUCCGUCUUCCCGGCGAAUACACUUCAAUUUCACACCGUUGAGUCUUCUUCUGUACAGUGUGUCGUUGACAAACUGGUACAUACUUGACUGCCGGGCUACUCUUUCCGCUUCUUCUUGCUCUUCGGGAAGUUCUCAUGUCUGAAGGAAAUGAACAAUCUGAUGUGCCCAUGCUGGAGCUUGUGGCUCGACAACAAGGACUAAAGGCACAUCUGCUGCUGCGGGAACAUCCGCUUCUACAGCGAGAACCUGCGGCUCAGCUGGAGCUUGAUGUUCCCCAGCAAGCUUGCCGGAGCAAAACUUGUCGGGAGUGUCUGCUUCAACAGAACAAACCCUAAGGCUUGCCGGAGCAAACUGCUCCUCAGCACCCUUGGUGUUGAUCUUGGGGACCUUCUUGGCGGCGGCCUCGGGGAGUUCUUCCGGAAAAUAGUCGCCAGAAAUCAACUUCCUCUUUUUGCACUGUCCAGUUGAUGGCGUUACAGACGGCUGAGUCAGCUUGAGCACAAAGAUCCCUCGUUCCACAGGUAACUUAAGUGCGGCGCACUUUGACAGGCCAUCGGCAAUGUUGUUCUGAGCUCUUGGAACAUGUUCCAUCUGUAGGCCGUCAAAGUGCUCUUCUAGCUUUCUCACUUCAUCAACGUAAGCUUCCAUCAACGGACUCUGAUAAUUCUUGUUCACCUGGCGGAUGACAAGCUGUGAGUCACCCCUGACAAUGAGCUUCUUGAUCCCAAGGUCUGUUGCGAUCCUGAGACCGGCAAGCAAACCUUCAUAUUCUGCGGUAUUGUUUGUUGCUUUCUCCUUGGGAAAGUCCAUCUGGACUACGUACUUGAGGUGUUCUCCAGUGGGUGCAACAAGUAGCACGCCUGCACCGGCGCCUUGCAGCGAGAAGGCACCAUCAAAGUACAUCAGCCACUCUUUGCUUGCUUCCUUGACGGGGAUGCUUGUUUCUGGAAUUUCUUCAUCUUGUGUUGGCGUCCACUCUGCUAUGAACUCUGCCAAUGCUCUGCUUCUGAUAGUUGAAGUGCUCUCAAACUUGAGGCCAAAGCUUGACAGUUCCAGUGCCCACUCGACAAUCCUGCCUGUUGCUUCGGGAUUUUGUAGUAUCCUCUUCAGCGGAAAACGAGUGACGACUGUGAUCUCAUGUGCUUGGAAGUAAUGGCGCAGCUUUCUCAAGGCCAUGAGAAGGCCGAAAAGCAAUUUCUGCACACCAGAGUACCUUGACCUAGCCCCCUGCAGAAGGGAACUGACAAAGUAAACUGGGCGCUGCACCAUUCUCUUCUGCAUCUCAUUACGCGCCUACGCAGAUCCAUCUUUGUCGGGACCAGAGCUUGUCGGUGAAGUUUCCUGCUUGUCGCUGGAUGCAUCUGCCGUGGUUGCUGGCUCAUCAUCCGCCUCCCUCUCCGCCACUAACGCAGCACUAACCACUUGAUUGGUUGCCGCUAUAUAUAGCAGCAACUUCUCUUGUGGCUUAGGUGAGACAAGUGUUGGAGCGGAGGACAGGUAUCUCUUCAAGUCCUGCAGUGCAGCCUCCGCCUCCGGAGUCCAUUUCAUUGGACCUGCCUUUUUCAAUAUUUUGAAAAAUGGCAAGGCGCGCUCGGUAGAUCUAGAGAUAAACCUGUUGAGAGCAGCCACGCAACCGGCAAGUCUUCGUACAUCCUUGACGCGCUUUGGUGCUUCAAUCUGCUCAAUGGCCUUGAUCUUGUCGGGAUUGGCUUCAAUUCCCCGCUGAGACACAAAGAACCCGAGAAGCUUGCCGGAGGGGACUCCAAACACACACUUCUCGGGGUUAAGCUUGAGAUUGAUCUUGCGCAGAUUUGCAAAGGUUUCAUCUAAAUCUUGAAUCAGAGUUGCCUUGUCCUUGCUCUUGACCACUAUGUUAUCCAUGUAGGCUUCCACAUUUCUGUGUAUUUGUGGCUCAAAAGCGUCAUGGACUACCCUUGCAAAUGUUGAACCAGCAUUCUUUAAACCGAAAGGCAUCCGUAUGAAACAGUAUGUGCCACAUGGAGUGAUGAAAGCGGUCUUCUCCUCAUCCUCUUCUGCCAUGAAGAUCUGAUGGUAUCCUGAGUAUGCAUCAAGAAAUGAAAGCAAGUCACAUCCGGCCGUGGAGUCAACAAUCUGGUCGAUGCGCGGCAAGGGAAAUGGGUCUUUGGGACAAGCUUUAUUGACAUCGGUAAAGUCGAUACAAAGCCUCCAUUUCCCAUUUGCCUUGCGUACGACUACAGGAUUGGCCAACCAUGUAGGAUGGAGUACUCCUCUGACAAGGCCUGCUGCUUCCAAUUUCUUGAUUUCUUCUGCGAUGAAUUCUUGGCGCUCCACUGCCUGUUUCCUGACUUUCUGCUUGAUGGGCCAUGCAUGAGGAUAGACGGCAUGACGGUGCUCGAUUACUUUCCUGGGAACACCGGGGAUGUCAGACGGUUGCCACGCAAACACGUCGACGUUCGCCCGCAGGAAAGCAACGAGCGCGCUUUCCUAUUUAGGGUCGAGAGUGGCACUGAUGGUGAAGGUACCACCAGUGCCAUCCUCCUUGGCGGACACCUUCUUGGUCUCUAGUGGAGCUGCCAUUGUCUUCUUACACUUGCCGGUGGAGCUCGAUGGUGCGUCCUCGACGGUAGCGCAGCACUCCGAAGAGGUGCGCUUGCCGGAGUGGGCAUCAGAAUUCUUGCCGGACUUGGUCUUCUUCUUCCCCCCGGGAGCUUCAGCGGCAAGUGACUUGCGAUCUGUUGCGGCUGCUGCUUCCCGUUAGAUCUUGUCGGCUCAGAUAAGGGCAUCCUUCUUGUCGCCAGGGACAGAGAUGACACUUAUCGGGCCCAGCAUCUUCAGCAUGUUGUAUGCAUAGUGAGAGGCUGCCAUGAAUUUGGCGAGUGCUGGACGACCGAGUAUCCCAUUGUAAGGCAAUGAAAGUCAGCAACGUCAAAAGUGACCCUCUCAGUCCUGAAGUUCAACUCGCUGCCGAAUGUCACCGGCAACAUGAUCUUUCCCUUCGGCUUGCUCCUUCCCGGAUUGAUUCCUUGGAAUGUGUCGGUCUCUUCGAGCUCGCUAUCAGGGAUCUGGAGUUUGUGGAGUACCGCGGAGGAGAUCAGGUUCAGGACGGCCCCGCGGUCAACUAGCAUCUUAGUGACCUUGAGGUUGCGGAUAGUUGGUGAAACCAACAUCGGCAAGCACCCGACCGCAGUUAUGCGAUCAGGGUGGUCCUCAAUAUCAAAGAUGAUAGGCGUGCUGGACCAUUUCAGAGGCUUGCGUGACUCGAUGGGUGGUUCUGCCGCAUUGACUUCCCGCACCCACUGCUUGAGCUGGCGGUGUGAAGUACGCAGAGAAGCACCGCCGUCAACGCACAGGACCUUUGUGGCUUUCUGGAACUCCUGCUCAUCGGUCUCAUCAUCAUCCAUAUCUUCAUCGUCAUCGUCAUCUUCAUCCUUGUCGCGGCCGCGGGGAGGUCUGUCUCCUUGCCGCUGCUUGGCCUUGCCGCGGCGUCCCCCUCGGCCGGGGCGUUUCUAGCCGGCUCCUCCAACACCUUCCUGGGCCUUCUCCUUGUCGCGUCGCUCGUAUUCAGCCUUUUGCUGCUCGACAAGCUGCUCGACUUUCUUGCAGCUCUGGAGGUCAUGGCCCUUGGUGCGGUGGAUCUUGCAGUACUGCUUGUUGGUGCCGUCCUGCUUGUCGGUGACCGCCACGGCCUGGUAGUUGGUGCCCGCGGCAAUCUCCUUGUCGGAGCUACCAGCUUUGGCUUUCUUGGCGCCACCUCCGUUGCCGGACUGCUCAACGACUAGCACUUCUUUGCCUUUCUUCUUCCUGUUGUUCCGCCACCGGUUUUUCUUUGUCGGGGCAGCAUCCUCACUAUCAGAUCCUCCUACUUCUGUAUUCUCUCCAGGGAGUUUCCUCCCUUCCUCAGCAUGUGCACACUUGUCGGCCAGGGCAUAUAGCUCACUGACAUCCCUGAUCUUGCACAUCGCCAUCUCCUCCCGCAUCCUGCGGUUCCGCAUGUUCUGAUGGAACGCGCUGAUUACCGCGGCAGGGUGGACAUCUGGGAGGUUGUGCUGUACACGGCUGAAUCUCCGAAUGUACUUGCGUAGGGGCUCUCCUUCCUUCUGGGCGAGCAGAUGAAGGUCGCUCUCUUGGCCAUGAGGCUUGUGGCCGCCUGUAAAGGCGCCGACAAACUGAUGGCAUAGGUCUGCCCAGGAGGAUAUGGAGUUGUCCGGCAAGUGCAUGAGCCAGGAUCUGACAUUGGGCUUGAGCACCAGCGGGAAGUAGUUGGCAAGGAUCUUGUCGUCCCGCCCCCCGGCAGCUUGCACCGCGAUGGUGUAGAUGCCGAGGAACUCCGACGGAUGCGACUUGCCGUCGUACUUCUCUGGUACGUCUGGCUUGAAAUUCUUCGUGCUAGGCCACUGGACUUGCCGCAGCUCAUGAGUGAAUGCAGGGCAACCUACCGCGUACGGCAAGUCACCUGGUUCCCUGGUGCAUGCAUGUCGAUAAAGGGCCCAGCGCGCUGGUCCGAUUGAUGCCGCGCUUCUCUUUGGCGCUCGAUGCGAGUACGAGCGUCUUCUUGCUGUCGUUCGUGAAGAACUUGGCGCUGAUCGCGACAAGCUCGUGGAUCUGAUGAUGCGGUGGAGUCGCUGUCGAGGUGGAUCCGGCGAGUCGGCGAUCUUGGCCUUCGGGGUGGAGAGUGCAUGGUGGUUGCACCCCCACCGGUUUUGCCGCCAUCGGCUCGCGCCUGGCAGUCCUGCCGCGGCAUCGAUGUACUCGGCUGCCGCGGAGUGUCGCCGUUGGCAAAGCCGAUGAGACUCUGAAUGGUGGCCCUCCAUUCGUCGAUCUUGUCUUCCAUUGGAGGGUAAUCCAGGAGCAGUUGAGCUCGCGCCAAAGCUUCUGCUGGAGUGGUGGGCGGCAGUGGCGAACGGUGCGAGGAGCGGGAUAUGAUCGGACUUCUAACUAUGUUAGAAGGAGCAGUAUCCCGUCCAGGCGACCGUGCCUCGCUCGUGCCAGCAUGUUGGCGUGCAUGCUGGUCUUGAGCACCCCGAGAUCCACUAGCUCGAUCUUGGUCCAACGAACGCAUGGUACUGCGAAUACCAUGACGAUGUCGGUCCUACGCCUCUUGAGAUGGGCGCGGUGCAUGUACGGACGCCGAGGUCUGCGCAGCCUUGCCCUUGGGCCUGGCAGCGCCUACCCCACCAUCCAUUUGCUCCGGUGGUGGCGGGAUCGACGCGGACGGAACAAUUGCCUCUGAAGCCUUCUUCUUCGGUGGCAUGUCAAUGAAGAAGAUGAAGAUCUAGCUCGUGUGAAUGCCGGAUCAGGUUCACACAAUCUCGACGCCCCCUACCUGGCGCGCCAAAGAUGUCGGGGAAACUGAUCCACGAACACCUAUGGGACCGGCGGACCGAGCCCCUUUCGGUUCGGCGGGGGGCGGAGAUCGCACGAAGAGCGGAUCGAGGUGAAGCACACGAGCAGUUUACCCAGCUUCGGAGCUCUCCGGAGAGAUAAUACUCCUACUGCUGCAUGUCUGAGUAUAUUGAGUUCUUGCUCGGGAGCGCUGAAUGCUACAGUACACUCUAGCUGCUAACAAGACCGAGCAUGAGUGUGUUUCUGGCUUCGAACCUUACGAACCCCCCUCUACGUUGCGCAUGGGCCUCCUUUUAUAUGCUCAAGGGGUCACCGACAGGUGGCAACGUAGGAAAGGGUAAAAAUGGAAAAGUGUUGCGGUUGGUACAACUACCUGUACAGUGUAUCCUACCUAACCCUGACGGCAGGGGACAAAGGCAUUAAAUGCCCGUCUGCGUCGCCCAAAUAGUGCAGAAAGGGACCGUCAGGGGCGCCACCGCUUGCCACGAUGGCAAUCUUGUCAGCGCCGCUUGCCACUGCGCACCGCUGGCUGCACAGCCUCUUGCCACGCGCGCCUGGAAAGGCCCCAGGGUGACACGUUGGUGAAUAUGCUGGAGCGUGGGCACAGAGUGGUAGCUUGCCGCGGCAAGCGCCUUGCCGCGGUCGUUGUCUUGUCGCGUCCGGAAGCUUGUCGCUCACCGGGCCUUGCCGGGACGCGUGGCGCGUCGCGGCAAGUUCCUUGAGAUGCCUUGGUUGGCCUUCUCGGCAAGCUCCUCUUGCCGGGGCCUUGUCUCCUUGGCUUGAAUACUUUGUUCUUGAAUGGCUCCAAAGGAACCACGGAGGACCUUGGCGGUCACCCGGCAAGCCUUGCCGCGGGGUGCUGCGACUGCCCGUGCACAAGUUCGGGAUACUAGGGUACCCCUACUCUAGUACACCGACACUAGGCGAGGGUCAAUCUGGAUAGUCAUGACGAGGAAAGCUUGCUUGUGCUUUUCAAGGAAGCAUUGCAGCAGUAUCGGUGUUACCUGAGGAAAUCACACUUUGGUGGCAAAUCUAUAAACGAAUUUCCGGUGAAGUCUCCUGUGCUAAAUUUAGAAGACAUUGAAUGGAAAAACAUUGUUAUGCACUGGUCUCGUUCCCAGGAUGAGGUACUGUCUAUGAAAUCACAUGACAAUUUGAACUUCUACUUUUCCGCAUGUGCCUUACGGAUCUUGUUUGCAGGAAAUCUGCUUGAAAAAGAAUUCCGGUUUGAAAAGAAUGACAGGAUAUCGCAAAUAUGCUGCCCGCUGCUUUGCUCUUAUUAGUACUUGUUGUCCUGUAUCAAUGUACUUGCAUACAUACCUGGUUCAUUAUGUGACAGCAGUAUGCAUGAUAGCUUGCUUAUCAAUUGUUCGCUCCAAAUUCUUCAGUAUCCAAAGCCAAUGUUUUUUAGCUCUGCAUUGUUCUUGUAAGUACAUGCUGUCCUUUAUCAGUGUACUUAUAAUGACAGGUAGUUGUUCAUGUACCAUCACUCUGCAGCUUAUUUUCCUUUGCCCUCCAUUUUCUACACAUCAGAUCUAUAUUUACUCUUACCAUAAGGUUGGUACUGAAGAAAUUUAGCUGUGCAUUGCUCUUGGUUGUACCUUUUGCCUGUAUCGCUUCACUUACAUUUAUAGCUACUUGGUUAUGUAGCAUCACUCUUUAUCUUAUCUUAAAUAUUCUCCAUUUUUUCGUAUAUUAUCACAUCUAUAUUUACUCUUAACAAAAUGUAGAAUAAAGGCAAUGCUUAUGAAGAAGAUUCUGUGGUAAACUUCUUGAAUUACCCCCCCCCAUCAGCAUGGACAAGGCCUUUAUAGAGCCUGUCUUCACCAAUAAUGUAAGUUUGUCCAUCUCAAGCCUUCAAACUUUGUUGUAUAUAUUUGGUUAGGCAUGACUGCAACAGCUGUUUAUUUUUGGUGUUUGCAUCAAAUUGCAUGUUUAAUGUUUAUUAUGUACUCCCUCCAAUCCAAAAUAGAUGACCCAAUUUUGUACUGAAGUUAGUAUAAAGUUGGGUCAUCUAUUUUUAGAACGGAGGGAGUAGUUCAUAAACAAAAGUUUGUCCUUUCUCAAUUUAAGUUUUCAGUUGUACAACCAAGUUCCUUAUUCAUACCAUGUAAAUUAAAGUAUACAGAGCAAGUGAUCUUCUUUUGCACUGCAUGUAUGCUUCUGUUCUUCAUCCGUAAUCCAGUGUUGUGGUGAACCUACCCACUACAGCACAAUGUCAUAUUCUGCAAUGUCUUAACUAUGAACAAUGUCAUAUCAUUCUACUACUCCCUCCGUCCGAAAAUACUUGUCAUUGAAAUGGAUGUAUCUAGAUGUAUUUUAGUUCUAGACACAUCCAUUUUGAUGACAAGUAAUUCCAGACGGAGAGAGUAUUAUUUAAACCGUCUCUUUAUUUGCCAAUCUGAAAUGGGAUAAAUUGACAGCACACUAACCAUUGAUACUUAUGAGUUCUUGAUCUGUAAUCCAGUGGUGUCGUGAAGCUGCCAACUCCUUCACAAUGUCAUUUCCUGCCAUGUCUUGACCUGAACAAUACCAUAUUGUGUUACUGCAAUUUUAAACUCUGUCACUUUAUUCGUCAGAAGAAAUGUGAUGAAUUGUCAGCAUUGAUACUUUUAUGUGCAAAACCUGUCAUCUGUUUGCUUGUUUAUCUUUCAGAGUGAGGAAGAUUUAAGUGUUGAACAAGCGCAGUCUCAUCAUCUUGCUCAGCUGCUUGCGCUGCAGCUCCCCAGCAGGGCUAACCUUUCUUGAACUCUAUUGAAGUGCUAUCGGUUUUGUAUAUUAUUUUUUCAGCGUGUUUAUUUGCACUGGUGGCGAUCUUUGAUGCCCAGGUAUGUAAUCUGCUAUCUGCUUGUGCUUAAUUAUCAUAGUGGCCAACUUUGAUGCCCAGUGGAUGUAAUAUGCUGUAAUUUCUUUUUUGUAUAGUCUAGGUUUUUUCUUAUUCACCAUGCUGCAGUUAUUUUAUUGUCUUUGCAGUAAACCGGCCAAACCGUAAAAUUACGGUACAUAAUCGGGCCGUCAUGCAAUCACGAUGUAGGUUGGGCCUGAAACAUGCCGAACAGCUAAUGGGCCGGCAACAGCCCGAAAUGAACCCUGGCCCAUGAUUGUGCGAAUCAAAUCACGGGCUUUUAACAGGCCAAAAUUGUCUCGGUCCUUCUUUGGCCCAAUCAGAUAUCGGUUGCGAGCAGGCCGGAUGCAAACGGGGCCGUAGUUAGGCCCAACUAUAUGACGGGCAUUUAACAGGCCAAAAUUAAUAUGGGGCCGAAAUGUUAAACGGGUCCUUAAGAGGCCAAAACUAAUGUCAGGCCGAAUUACUAAGUGGGCCUCUAGCAAGUGGGCCCAAAAGCAUAGUGUCCAGUUGACGGGCCAAAUCUGAUAUGGGCCAUAAUUGAGCCCAUAGCUUCUUAAAGGGCCGUACCUGAUCUGGGCCGUAAUUUGGCCCAGAACGUGGUAGGCUUUUAGCGGGCCGGAUCUCAUAUGGGCCACUAUUAGGCCCGGAACAUGGCAGGCCAUUAAUGGACCGGAUCAAAUAUGGGCCGGCAUUUGGCCCAAAACAUGGCAGCCAGUUAAUGGGCCGGCCUACUAGGGCCCUCAAAUUCUUGUGGGCCUACAGCUGGGCCAUCCCAUUAAUGUCGGCGAAAUCUCGUGGGCCUUUAGCCGGGCCGGCCCAUUAUGAUCCGCAAGAAUCUUGUGGGCCUUUACCUGGGCCGGCCCAUUAUGGCAUACAAAAAUCUUGUGGGCCUUUACCUGGGCCGGCCCAUUAUGGCCCGUGAAAUCUUGUGGGCCAUUAGCUGGGCCAGCCCAUUAUGGCCCGCAAAAUCUCAUGGGCCUUUAGCUGGGCCGGCCCAUUAUGGUCCGCAAAAUCUUGUCGGCCUUUAGUUGGGCCAGCCCAUUUAAACUUGAUGGGCCGGUCCACGUGUCAACAUAUCAUCGGCGCGUCUCGCCCAUUGGAUGAGUGACACCUGUGCCAGCGCGGACCUGACACGUGUCUCCUCCAACCAAUGAUGAUUUUACACGUGGAAAAUCCCCAUUGGUCAGGGCUGUUAACGGGUUAUCGGAUCCAAAACCCGACCCGAUAGCUUAACGGCGUUCCGUUACGGUGGAUGCCACAUGUCGGUCACCCUUGACGAAAGCACUUAUGUGACACGCGAUUUAUCGUCAUGGAAGUGGACACUUCCAUGAUGAUAGUUUUGGUAAUGUCAUGGAGCACUUCUAUGACAGCACAGGUAUGACUAUCUUGAUUCUGUCAUAAAUUUGUCAUGGAUGUACAUGCAUGACAAAAAACGCGACCUACUGUGACAAACACGUAUCAUCACGGAAGUGUAUUUUUUUUGUAGUGUCGAAUUUUCCUGGUUACAGUGGUCAUCCACAUCAUUGCAUAAUUUGGCUAGACAAAGGAGACUACAGCACACCCACACUUCUUAAUCGGGCAAGUUCAACAAUUAAAUAGAGCUAGCUGGCCUAAACAUUACUCUAACAAAUUAAAGACCGGCACUCUUAAUUAAACAAAACAAAGAGUACUACUACAGCUGGUGCUCGUCGAUCUUCCCCGCCUCCUCCAUGUCCAACUCGCGUCCGACGGUCUCCUGGGGAAGGGGCUCCAUGGCAUCCAUUGCACCAUAUUCAGCAAGCAUAUCGCCAUCCGCGUCCACCAUCUCUUUGGAAAAGGCCACUAUGAGAUGGGCGUGGGCGGCCGUGAUCUGGGCUUGGACGGGCUCGGUCAUCGCAAGGUAUGCGGUGGAGGAACAGACGACUGCUCGAACGCUCUCGGCGAUUGCCAACUCUUCGGCCAUGGGUUGUCGACCAUUGUCUGAGAAGGUUUGUUCGGUUUGUGUGGUGACUGCCACGAGCUGGGCGUGGGCGGCCACGACAUGGUCAUGGGCGGCCUCCAUCAGGGCUAAGUUCGCUGCAGUGGAACGGAUAGCUGUUGUGCCGCUCUCGCCAGUUGCUAUCCCCGAGGCAGAUGUUGCUGCCACCACCUGAGAAGCAACAGCGGCCCUUUGGGCUGCUUUGGCUGCCCGGUCAUAGAUUGUGGUCGUGCUGAUAGACCUUGUUAGCACGCGCAUGGCGGCUGCGGCCGUGCUCUCACCAGAGUGGGCCGCCGAAGUUUCCCUCACGAUGUGGGUCCAUGUCCCCAUCUUUCACCGGUGACGAUUGAACAACGAAAUGAUAUUUGGGGAGCAAGCUAGUGUGCUUGACAUGCCGAAUGUGUUCUGUAGCCGACGCACCUUCUCGCGUAAGCGAUAGACGUACUAUACACCGACGGUGCUCCACGAUAUUUUGUACUGCAUCUCACACGGUUGGUGAUAAUAAACUGUGUGUGAUCUACUUGAUUUUUCGUCUUGAUUUGAAUUACAUAAUGGGGUCACAGCUACAAAGGUUGGUGUUUGAAUGCUAGAACUUCUACCUGCAGUGAACAUGCAACUAUAGGUGUGUCAUCAAAAAAAUUGGAAUUAUUCAGGGUUCGUUUGGACAUUUUUAUACAGUAACUUGGUUUUCUAAGCAUUUCAGGUGCACAAUUCAAAAUUAAACCACAUGCACAUACUCCGGUGCACCAAAAUGGGCUGUAAAAUGAUAUAUGUGUCCGUUGGUUGAUGCUUACGUCCCAUUCAAGAAAUGGGGAUGAAUUUACAACACCACGGCAUCGUGGCUCUCCGGCAAACAUUGAGGUGCUUGUUUUUGUAAUUCUAGUAAAUACAAAACUCGUCUGAAAUUCAUGAACCUUGGCAUGCUAUCAUGGAACAGCAUCAAGAUGCUGGGGUAAAAAAUAUUGUCCCAUUUGGGGAAGGUUAUGGUAUAAGCUUCUCGCAAACCAGAGCUUCUCUCACAACAAGCAUGAUGGUUUCGGUAGGGAACGUGCCACCUUGGGGGACGAAACGAUAUCUGUUGCCUCUUCUAUUUCAAAAAAUUUCUCGUGUCAACAUAGAAAAACAGGAGUGUUGUGCAAUUUUUUGGGAUUUUUUGGAGUUCACAUGGACAUUUUUAUACAUUAACUUAGUUUUCUAUGCAUUCAUCUGCAUUAGUCAAAUUUUAACUACAUGCACAUCCUCCGGUGCAUAGAAACAGGUCGAAAAAUCAAAUGUGUGUCCUUGUUUGCAACCUUAGGUCCCACUCAAGAAAUGGGAAUGAAUGUCAAAAACCUUUGCCACCGUUGGUCGGCCGCUAACAUUGAGAUACAUGGUUUUAAAAUUCUAGUAAAUCAAAAACUCGUCUAAAAUUCAUGAAACUUGACAUGCUAUCAUGGAGCAGCAGCAACAUGCAGUGGUAAAAAUAUUGUCCCAUUUGGCGCGGGUUGGGGUAUAGGCUUCUCACAAACUAGAGCUUCUCGCAACAAGCCUCAUGGUUACGGUAGGGAAUGUUUCACCUUUCUGGACGAAACGAUAUCCGUUGCCUCUUCUUGAUUUAAAUUUUUUCUCUAGUGUCAACAUAGAACAACAUGAGUGUUGUGUUAAAUUUUGGAAUUUUUCGGGGUUCGUUUGGACAUUUUUAUGCAUUAGUUGAGUUUUCAAUGCAUUUAUGUGCAUAAUUCAAAUUUUAACUAUAUGCACAUGCUCUAAUGCAUAUAAAUUGGUUGAAAAUUCAAGUAUGUCUACUUGGUUGCAUGCUUAGGUCCCAUGCAAGAAAUGGGAAUGAAUGUCAAACAACCUACCACCGUCACUCGGCCAUAAACAUUGAGAUACCUGAUUUUUAAAUUCUAGUAAAUCCAAAACUCGACUGAAAUUCAUGAAACAUGGCAUGCAAUCAUGGAGAGGCAUCAACAUGCCGUCGUAAAUUUUCUUUCCCAUUUGUGGUAGGUUUGAGUAUAAGCUUCUCACAAACCAGAGCUUCUCACAAUAAGUCUGAUGGUUUCGGUAGGGAAUGUUUCACCUUUCUGGACGAAAUGGUAGCCGUUGCCUCCUCUUGAUUUCAAUUUUUUCUCUAGUGUCAACAUAGAACAACCUGAGUGUUGUGUUAAAUUUUGGAAUUUAUUGGAGUUCAUUUGGACAUUUUUAUGCAUUAAUUGAGUUUUCAAUGCAUUUAUGUGCAUAAUUCAAAUUUGAACUACAUGCGCAUGCUCUAAUGCAUAUAAAUUGUUUGAAAAUUCAAAUAUGUGUCCUUGGUGCAUGCUUAGGUUCCAUGCAAGAAAUGGGAAUGAAUGUCAAACACCCUGCCACCGUCACUCGGUCGCAAACAUUGAGAUACCUGGUUUUUAAAUUAUAGUAAAUCCAAAACUCUUCUGAAAUUUAUGAAACCUGGCAUGCUAUCAUGGAAUGGCACCCGACAUGUCGUGGUAAAUUUUUUGUCCCAUUUGGGGCAGGUUUGGGUAUAAGCUUGUCACGAAUCAGAGCUUCUCACAACAAGACUGAUGGUUUCUGUAGGGAACGUGCCACCUUUGGGGACGAAACGAUACUCGUCGCCUGUUAUUGCUUUGAAAAAAUUUCUCGUGUCAACAUAGAACAACAGGAGUGUUGUGUUAAAUUUUGGAAUUUUUUGGGAUUCGUUCAGACAUUUUUUAUACAUUAAUUGGGUUUUCUAGGCAUUUUCUGUGCAUAAUUCAAAUUUUAACUACAUGCACAUGGUCUAGUGCAUAUAAAUUGGUUGAAAAAUCAAAUUUGUGUCCUUGGGUGCAUGCUUAGGUCCCAUACAAGAAAUGGGAAUGAAUUCCAAACACCAGGGCACUAUUGAUUGCCGACUUAAUGUUGAGAUACUCUAUUUUAAAUUCUAGUAAAUCCAAACUCGUCUGAAAUUCAUGAAACUUGGCAUGCUAUCAUGGAAUGGCACCCGACAUGCUGUGGUAAUUUUCAUGUCCAUUUUGAGAGAAGGCGCACUCGAAUAACAGUCAACAAAGGCAUUUUGAAACAACUAGCUUCCGCUCUAACAUCACAAACAUUUUAGAUAGAACACCCGUAGGUACACUGACAGCUUCCCUAGUAAGCCAAGGGAAAAUGUGCCGAGCAGGAUUUGUGCAGCUCUUCAUCGCAAACAUUUUAGAUAGAACACAUGUAUGCAAAGCGAGACUUUGGCGCUAACCCAAGAGACUUCAUCGCAAAUGUUUUAGAUAGAACACAUGGUCAUCUGCAGUAAGCCAAGGGAAAAUUUGCUGCAUAGGAUUUGUGCAUCUCCUCAAUGCAAACGGUUCAGAUUGAAUAAGGUAUGCAAAGCGAGACUUCGGCGCUAACCCAAGAGAAAAUUUGGCAAGCAGGAUUUCUACCUCCCUUCAACGCAAACUGUUUUUUGGAUGACCCGUGUGCAACAACGUACAAACAAUUUGGUAAGAUUUUCAUCUGUCAUAUUGGGUAUAUUGCCAUUUGUCAAACUGGAAAUAUUGACAUUUCUUGAUCUAGUAACAUUGCCAUUUGUCAAUCCUUGUAACACUGCGAUUUGUCAAAAUAUGCAUCUAAAAAUCACUAGCACUAUCUAAUUUUUGCAACUAAAAUUCAGUAAUUAAGUAUAGAUUUCAUUCAUAGAUUAAGCAGUCGUGCUUUAUUUAUACAAACAGUUCAACUCCACAGCUAAACCGACCAAACUUUUCCCCAAUUGUUGCCAACCAUGUACUGAAAUAGCUAGUUCAACUAUAUAUACUAGGUAAUUAUAAGUACGUUGUAAAGUUCCACCACAUCUAUAGUCAGAUGAACUGAACAAAAUAGCCCCUAAAUACUACUACUACGGAGGGGCUUUGUACUACCUCCGACAACCUCUGCUCUGCCGAGCACGCUCAGUAGGAGGAAGAGGAGUAGGAGCCUACCGACGAGCUGGACAACUGCAAUACGGUGCCUGCCGCUACUGCACCUUCAGCGACGCUCACCUAGAAUGCCCUAUGCCGCUCCAUAAGUAGAUCUCAUGAUUCCUCGCCUCUGCGUCGGCAUGUGUCGCGGCCAUGGCGGCGGUAAGGCUCUUAGCGUGCUAGACGAGGCGCUCCUCCUCCUCCCCCAGGAACUCGAUGUAGCGCGCAAGGUCGCUGCCGCACGUGCGGGCCUCCACAUCCGUCCCCCUCCUUUGGGAGGCGAUGGCGGAGCGGGUGAUGAUCCCGGCGGUCGCCGGUGGGCUGGCGGCCACGGCGGCUGAUGAUGGGGUUGCGGCCACGACCACCACCUCCCGCCGUCGGGCCGCGGUGACAGAGCGGGUGAUGGCCACAGUGGCCGAAAAUGGGGUGGCGGCCACGAUGGCCACCUCUCGCCUUCAGGCCAUGGCGGCAGAGCAGGCGAUGGCCCUGGCUUUCAACGGAGCUGUGGCGGCAACGGCGGUCGGCAACAGCUACCCAACAAGGACGCCACGCGCGCUACACUAUGUCAGGGACUACGCCGCCGCCGUGGUGUAGCCUCCCAGCUGGAGCUAUGCUCUGAUGACGGUGGAGUGGUUGAGCGACGACGACGGUCCGGUGCCAUUGCCGAUUGUGGGAGAAGCAGAUGAGGUAAGCUACAGGGAGGGAGGGGGGAAAUGCGAUGCAGGACUCACUGGCCGUGAGGGUUUAUAUAGUAGGCUUGUAAGCAUUGCAAUUUGGGGGGAUUUCACUGAGUCAGGCGGGAAGCUUGCACGGGAACCUGCACGGUUGUGCGGGAACGGGCUCACCACCGUUUGGCGAAAAGAACGCCCCCGCGCGCUGCUCAAGAUUGCGCUCGAACCGUCUGCGGCAGCGGGGUGACAAGACGUGCGAGAGGAGGACGAAAGGACACGUACACAUACGUUUAAUAAAAAACAUUUGCGAUUUAAUUACCUACUAUACCCCCGUCCUAGUUUAUAAGUAGGAUUUAAUUAAUAAAAUAUGAAUGCAUGUCGCCAAAGAUUAUAUCGUUGGCUUCGUAUUUGAACAUAGUUUCCAGUUAUAUAAUUUUUCUAACAUGCAUUAACAUUUUGUUGGUUAAAUUUGAGGUUAUAUACGAGCAAGCGUUUCCCACAACACACAUGGCUUAUUCCAUCACAAACAGCUAGGAUGGAUCAAUUGUAUGCCACGUAUCGCACACGCAUCUCUAAUCUGAUUCGUGCUUGAUGUCUUCGACAUCUCUCGCAUAAUUUGUCUUAUUUGCCAUGUAUCAUUGUGCCGGCCUCUGCUCGCGUCCCUCGUCAAGCUCUGCUCGCCGUUAGGCACCGCGGCAUGCUCUGCUCGCAUCCGUCGGUGCGCUCUAGUUGUGGACAACUUUUCCUUGCGUGUUCAACUGCUCGGUUAAGGCAACCGCAGAGCACUCUGCUCACGUCCCUCCGCGCGCGCUCUGCCAGCAGUAGGGCAUGCGCACGAUCACGUCGGGGGCUCCAUAUGCAUGCAGUUGCGCCACGUGCGUUGCCACCUGAUGCAGUUACGUGCGACACAAUGGAGUUACGCGCUGCGAAUUACAACUACCAUCAGGGCGUGCUGAUCGAUAUUCCAGGCCAUAUGGCUUCCCCUUUAAUUCUCGCGGCCAUUAUAACCUUAGUCUCUUCAACCUUUUGAUCACGCCCCAUAGCACAACAAGCACACCCAUGAUGACACAUAGAGAGGGGAUGUCUAGAGGCUCUCCAAUGGAGUUCGGCGAGCAUAAAGUGGAGACCCACCUGAGGGAGACGGAUCUCUCGGUGGUGUACACCAUCGACCCAGCCGUGGUGGACGACUACAUCAACACCGUUGAGCAGUUGCUUAUCGGAGACAAGUACAAGGUGGUCGGCAUCGACCUCCAGUACACCGCUGGUCUUCCCGGCAAAGAUCAGAAGGUUGUCGUCGCCCAGUUGUGCGUGCGCCAUCAUGUCCUCAUCUACCACUACUGCAUGGCUACAGAGCCUUGCGUUUGUUUCGCCAGGUUUUUCAACAACACCGACUACAAGUUAGCUACGGUGGAAACCAUCGAUGAUGUAAAAGCGCUCAGGGUUACGGGCUUGGCCUGCAAGAACCUUGUUGAAAUCCGUGCGCACUACAGGGUCUAGGGCAGCAUGAAGAAGGACUCCCUAGUUGAACUCGCCUCGACCCCUACUAUGAAAAGAUGAAGCAGGAUGCCCAGAGAACAAGUCCUGUGUCCUGGCAUAGGGCCUAGAUGCGGCGACUGGAUGAACCUCACCUCAGGUUCGCGACCAAGAGUGUAAGUGCGUCUAGUGCCACCCCUAGUUUGGUUUUGGAGUAUUGAUGACAAACGUGGUUGAGGGAUUAAUGUGUUUGUGAGAAUUGCAGGAUAACACAGGUAGUAGUCCCUCCUUGAUUCGGUUUACCUACCGGAGAUGACCCCUAAAAAUGUAUGAAGACAUUGAAGAUAAUGGUGGUACGUGAAGAUAUUCACAUUGAAGACUAUGACAGAAGAAGACAUUGAGUGAAGACUAUGGAGCGCGAAGACUUAGUAGUUUCGUUGUUUCUUUUCUUCUUUGUUGAGUCAUAGGAACCACCACACUGUUAAUGGGGUCCAAGUGAACAAAGUCAGAGUGACUGAAGUGAUGGUCAACCAAAAUCCUAUGUCUUCGAGCGAAGACAAUGAGAGCAAAUCUUAUCCAGAGUCGUAUAAGUCAGCUUUACUUGUAGCCCAAUCAAGCUGUCGCAUGUGUUUGAAAUCUGACCGUUGUGACACAUGUCAAUUCCUUAGUGACCCAGGGUCAUUUCGGACAAAUCAGGUCGGGUUGCCCAGUGGCUAUAAAUAGCCCACCCCCUACACCAUAAAUUGGUGGCUGCUCAGAGUUAGUGCACGGCUUUUGUCGUUGAGAGCAACCCUCCUCCGAAGAGUUUGAGAGAGAAAUCCUUGUGAGGACAAAGCCCAAAACACCGAGAGCCCAAAGAGUGUUUGGCAUCACUGAAGUCUUUCUGUCCGCGUGAUCUGAAGACUUGUUACACUUGAGGACUUUGAAUCCUCCAGCCGGUUAGGUGUCGCGUUCUGAGCAUCCAAGAGUAAUUGUGGAUUGCCGGUGAACGAAGUCUGUGAAGGUUUGGAAGUCUACCUUGAAGACUUACCAGAGUGAUUGGACGGGGACUGUGUGUCCUUAGCUCAAGGGGAAUAAGGUGAAGACACGGUCUUCUGAGAUCAAUCUCAGCCUCCCUAACCAGACGUACAGUUGUCACAACAACUGGAACUGGUCGAACAAAUCCUUGUCUUCACAACACACUGGUUCUAUCUCUUACUCUCCUUACUUACAGUUUGUCUUUGUGAAGUCAUUGCCUGAUUGCUCUGCCUGUUUGACUUCACUGUGUGACUACUUGUUCUGAUUGGCUUCAUACUAUCUUCCAUCCUGAUCGUACUACCUAGCUGCUAUCAGUCAUUAUGCUUUAGCUUCAUACUUGUUUGACUAUGGCUUGUCUAGUGUAGUUCAUCUUCUGCUGCAUGUUUAUAGGUCCAGUUUUCGUGUUUGUCUUCAAAACUUUCAUGUUUUGAAGACUUCCAUAAAAAUCGCCUAUUCACCCCCCUCUAGUCAAUAACUAGCACUUUCAAUUGGUAUCAGAGCAAGGUACUUCCUUGUUCUGUGUGAUUCAGUUUAACCACCUGGAGUUUCAGCUAUGUUGACUGCAGGGAUAAUCAAAGUCUCCGCUGCGUGCCCUGUAUUCGAUGGCACUGAAUAUCCCUACUGGAAGAAUAAGAUGCGUAUGCAUCUUGAAGCCAUUGAUGUUGAUCUAUGGUAUGUUGUCAAGAACGGCAUUCCCAAGACUGGUGAAGGUGUCUCCCCUACUGAUGUCAAGAAGUUCAUUCAACUCGAUUCUACUGUGAAGAACAUCAUCUGUGGUCAUCUGACCAAAGGGCAGUAUGGCCGUGUGAGUGCUUUGGAAACGUCGAAGCUAGUGUGGGACUGGCUCUCCAAGGUCAAUGAAGGCGUUUCAACUCAGAGAGAUCAAAGAAUUAGUGUCCUACGCAACCUCUUCAACCGCUUCAAGAGAAAUGACAAUGAAAAUGUCCAGCUCACGUUUGAUCGUCUCACUGACAUCACAAAUGAGCUUCAGGCUCUCGGCGCCACUGAGAUCACCAAGCAUGAAAAUCGUCAAGACGCUUCUGAGAUCUCUUGACAGCUCAUUUGACACUCUAGGUCUUAUGAUUCAAGAACGCCCUGAAUUCAAGACACUCGAUCCAUCUGACAUACUUGAGAGGCUCAACACACAUGAGUUCCAGCUAUCUGAGAAAAGAGAUAUCUAUGGUCCCAACUAUGGCCGAACUCGCGCUUUGAAGGCAAAGGCUGUUUCCUCAUCUAAAGAAGAAUCUGAUUGUAGUUCUGGUGAAGCUGAAGACCUUGGAAAGGAGCUUGCUAUGCUUGUGAAGAAGUUCCAGAAGUUCACUAAGAAGAAAGGCUUCAGAAAGUCUUCACGAUCCAGCUCAAGAAAUGAUGAAGCUUCUUCCCAUGACCACAAGAAGAGAACCUGUCACAAGUGCAAGAAACCUGGCCACUACAUCUCUGAGUGUCCAUAGUGGGACAAUGAGAAGAAAAAGAAGAAGAGCAAGGAAUAUGAUUCCAAUGACAAGAAGAAGAAGAAAUACUGGAAAUCUUCUUCCAAGUCUUCAUCACACACAAGAAGUUCGUCUGGCAAGGCCCGUGCUUUUGUUGGCAAGGAAAUGGAUUCAGAGGAGGAGUCUGCUUCUGAGGAGGCAGAGGUGGUGGAGUUUGAGGAGGAAUCUGACUCUGGCGUUGCAAGUCUAGCUCUGGCUUCAGCCUACGUUGCCAAGUCCAUCUUCAACACUGAAGACAAUGUAUCCACCACCAACGCUAAUGCCAGUGACCAGGACGACUCCACUCCCACUUACUGCUUCAUGGCACGCAGUGCCAAGGUAAACUCACGUGAUGCUUACUUUCAAACAUCAAGUGAAGAUGAAUCUGAUUGUGAAUCCAAACCUAGCUACAAAAAACUUGCUAAAAUUGCAACUGAACAACCGAAAGCUAUGGAACAUAUUCAAAAACUGUUAGCCAAAAGCGAGCCUGUUGGACGCGGAAAUGACUAGGACUCAGUCCUUAAUUGAAGACAUAAAAAAUCAUCAUGUUAAGUACCAGGAACUUGAAGGUCGUCAUGAAACCCUCUCAACAUCUCAUGAAAAGCUUUCCUACGAUUAUCUUCAAAGGAAGCAGGAACUUGAGAAAUUGAGAUCGGAUCAUGAAGAUCUUCAAAAGGAGAAUGAGUCACUACGCGCUCAACAGAUCACUCCCGCUCAGGAAGGAUUUGAACCACCAUGUUUAAAAUGCAUUGAGCAUGAUAACGUUGUUUCUAUUGCUGGAUGUUCUACUGCUCCUGUUGCAAUAUCUUGAACUGCUGAUGUGGUGUCUAACCCCUCUGUUGAGGAUACCACUGCUAUUGCUGAUGAGAAUGCCAGGUUGAAGACACUUAUUGAGACAGGGAUGUACAAAAGCCUCAAAGGGCAUCCGACAUUAUGUGAUGUCCUCAAAAAGCAGAUUCUGAACUGAAACCCUAGAAAAGAGGGUAUUGGGUUCGAGAGGAAAAUGAAUGUUGAUGGGUUGUACUGGAAGCCUGAGAAGUACCCCAAAACCACAUGGGUUGCUGCAAAGGAAUCCUCAGUAGAUCCAUCUACCUUAUAUGGUUUCACUUGCGCUAACCCUAUUAUCAUUGAUGAAUCCUUUGAUGCAAACUAUAAACUGUUUAAGAAUCAGAAUGGUGAAGUGUUUGCCAGGUAUAUUGGUACUAACUGCAGGAAUGGACCACCUAUGAAGAAGAUCUGGGUACCUAAACAGCGUAUUGAGAAUCUUCCUGUGAAUGUCAUCAUGACACCACCAAGGAAGAAGACAAACCCCAGACCUAUGGCUUCAUAUGGCCCAAAGGCUUCAUACAGAUAUAGGACUCACCUGAGUCACCCUAACGCCAAUGUUUUGCAGGGAAACCAUACUCAGACUUAUGAAUAUGAGCAUGUGUCUUCAAACCGCUAUGUUCAUAGAACUAAGAACUUUUCUGCUUAUUCAUAUGAGUAUUGUUCUUCUCCUGCAAGGCUAUUUGCUAGGGCUCCAAAGCCGAAGUUCUCAGAUGCUACACUUAGACUCAUUGCUUCUAAGCCGCCCCUGAAGAUGUGGGUGGUUAAGAAGAAUUAACUUUCUUUUGCAGGGAAAGGUCUCCAGCCGGAAAUCAAAGGCAUCCAAUGCUAUUGCUGGAGACCUAAAACACAUUAAGGGACGCAUGAUAAAAUGGUCUUACUAUGUAUUUCAUAUCUAAAUCGCUUGCUAGUCACACUAUCAGUCCUAACCCUGAUCUAAGCUUUGAUAAUCCUCUUGUGCGUCAAAUGUUUAUGCUUCACAACACUCUUUGUGAAGCCUAUCCUCCUAACUGCAUUGUAGGGUAUGACACCUCGUGCUUCAGAAUGGAUUAUGGACAGUGGAUGCAUUAACCACAUGACUGGUGAUCGAAGUCUUCUCAUGGACUCAACCUUACGUCCAUGUGAUAAAAUUCACAUCACAUUCGCUGACACUGGUAAAAGCAAGGUAUUGGACCUAGGUAGAGUUGCAAUCUCAAGGGAUUAGCACAUGGACAAAGUGAUGCUUGUUGAAUCCCUUGGUUUCAACUUAAUGUCUGUGUCAAUGCUUUGUGACUUAAACAUGAUUGUGCUAUUUGGAAAAUAUCGUUGCCUUGUACUAAUGGAAUCUGACAAGUCUCUAGUCUUCAAAGGGUACAGGAAAGAUGAUCUGUACAUGGUAGAUUUCUCAGCAGGACCACAGAUGGCCGUAUGUCUUCUAGCCAAGUCUUCAGAGUGCUGGCGCUGGCAUCGGAGGCUAGGGCAUGCUGGCAUGAGGAACCUACACACUCUCACCAAGAAGAAGCACGUCAUAGGCAUCGAAGACGUCAAGUUCAAGAAAUAUCAUCUAUGUGGUGCUUGUGAAGCUGGGAAGAUGACAAGGGCCAAGCAUCCCUCGAAGACAAUCAUGACUACAUCUCGAUCUUUUGAGUUUAUCCACAUGGACUUGUUUGGUCCCACUCACUACUCUACUCUCACUGCUACUGCUUGUCUCUAUGGUUUCGUCGUUGUUGAUGAUUAUUCAAGAUACACUUGGGUACACAUAAUUCUCUUCAAGACUAAAAUGCAGGAUGUCUUCAGACGCUUCGCAAACCGCGCCAUGAACAACUAUGGCGUCAAGAUCAAGCACAUUAGGAGUGACAACAGCACAGAAUUCAAGAACACGGGCCUCGACCUCUAUCUUGACACCUUAGGCAUCACUCAUGAGUUUUCUGCUCCAUACACACCUCAGCAGAAUGGCAUCAUGGAGCGCAAGAACAGAACCCUUAUUGAGAUGGCUCGGAUGAUGCUUGAUGAAUACAAGACUCCAAGAAAAUUCUGGCCUGAAGCCAUUGAUACUGCAUGCCAUGUCAUCAACCGUGUUUAUCUUCACAAGCUUCUAAAGAAAACAUCCUAUGAUCUUCUAACUGGUAAGAAGCCAAACAUAAGCUACUUCAGAGUAUUUGGUGCUAGGUGCUAGAUCAAGGAUCCACAUCACACUUCAAAAUUUGCACCGAAAGCACAUGAGGGUUUUAUGCUUGGUUAUGGAAAGGACUCACACUCCUACAGAGUCUUCAACCUCUUUCACUAUAAAGUGGUUGAAAAUGUGGAUGUGCGGUUUGAUGAAACUAACGGCUCGCAAAGAGAGCACCUGCCAAAUGUGCUAGAUGAAGUACCUGCCAGUGAAUCAAUCAAGCUAAUGGGAACAGGAGAGAUCAUACCAUCAGAUGCCCAGCCUGAAGAGGAACUUAUUAUUUCUGCACCUGAUCAACCUGAAGACAUUGCUCAGCCUGAAGAUAAUCCUUCAAAUAAUGACAAUGUUCAGCAGGAGCAAAAUCUUCAUCCAGUUCAUCCUCGUGUAGCAAAUGAAGUACAAAUUGAGAAGAUAAUCAAUAGCAUCAAUGCACCUAGUCCACUCACUCGUUCAAGAGCAACACAGCUAGCAAAUUUCUGUGGGCACUUUGCAUUUGUUUCAAUCUCUGAACCCAAGAAAGUUGCCGAAGCCUUCAUGGAACCUGAAUGGAUUCAAGCUAUGCAAGAAGAGCUUCAACAAUUUGAGCUGAACAAUGUGUGGGAAUUAGUCAAGCGUCCUGAUCCUCGCAAGCACAACAUAAUAGGCACAAAAUGGAUAUAUCGCAACAGACAAGACGAGCAUGGUCAAGUAGUCAGAAACAAAGCACGGCUCAUUGCUCAAGGAUACACACAAGUUGAAGGAAUUGACUUCGAUGAAACAUUUGCUCCAAUGGCUAGGCGCCAUUCGCAUACUGCUAGCUUACGCAAAUCAUCAUAACAUCCUUUUGUAUCAAAUGUAUGUGAAGAGUGCCUUUCUCAAUGGAAAGAUUGAAGAGGAAGUGUAUGUUGCACAACCGCCUGGCUUUGAAGACCCAAAACAUCCUGAUAUGGUAUACAAGCUCAACAAGGCACUUUAUGGCCUCAAACAAGCCCCUCGUGCUUGGUAUGACACACCCAAAGACUUCCUGAAGAGUAAAGGCUUCAAACCUGGUUCUCUAGAUCCCACUCUCUUCACGAAGAUAUAUGAUGGUGAACUGUUUGUGUGCCAAAUCUAUAUGGAUGACAUUAUCUUCGGUUGCACCAACAAGAAAUACAGUGAUGAAUUUGGUUACAUGAUGCAAGAACAAUAUCAAAUGUCCAUGAUGGGAGAGCUGAAGUUCUU
This 63626-nucleotide long non-coding RNA is filed under the name Triticum aestivum (bread wheat). RNAcentral describes it as "long non-coding RNA (TAES_LNC012057)". The stretch from base 38090 to 38204 matches the Rfam family "MIR1120/MIR1122 microRNA precursor family". Lineage: Eukaryota; Viridiplantae; Streptophyta; Magnoliopsida; Poales; Poaceae. The record is from RNAcentral.